GGUAAUACUCCGCAGCAUUAGGAAUUAUGUUAUGCUAAUAAUAUGGAAGCAGGACAAACACUUUCUGUCACUAAACAGUAAAAUCCAUUCUUAUAUAUACAAAUUGUGAGGAUUGGAAGCAAAACAUUAGGUUGAAAGUGAAAAAUAAAUUGUUAAUACACAAGUUGUACUACUUAUAUACAUUUUAAUUAAUAAAGAAAAAAAAAAAAGCAAGCCAAUACCCCUCAUUUUUUUGUGAAAUUAUACUAGCUAUUAGAAUAACGACAACUAUCAUGAGUCUGAAUAGAACAGAACGGAUACAUAAUAUUCGAGUAACAAUAUCUAAUUAGCUUAAAGUUGAAGCAUAUAUAUAAUCGAGUUGAUUUAACCCGUUAAGAAUGCACAAAAUCUCUUUCAUUCCACAGCAACAUCAGCUAUAUGAAACCAAUUUCUUUGGAGGAGCUCUACAAUCUCUUCAUCUCUGGAUAUUGUAACAUGUUAUAGUAAGUAUCAUAAAUAAAAUUAAUAUUAUAUAAUUGUAUUAAUUAAUAAUGUUAUAUAUGUUCUAAGUAUUACAAUAAUAAUGUUACAUAUAUAUACCUUGAUUUAGAAGGAGACUUUGGGGUUUGGUGACAAAAACGAGGGCUUCAUCAUAUCCUUCACAUGUGAUUUCUCCAUAUUCAUCUCUAUAACAAACUACACCCGUUGACUUAUCUUCAAAUACCUAUAUAUAUUCAUAUAAAUAUAAUAAAUAUAUUACGAAAAAUCAGUAAACGUUUGUACAUGAAUUGAUUGAUAUUUUUAAAAAAAAAAUAGUAGUACGAAUAAGAAGUGAAAUUGAUUACAUAUAAUUAAUGUAAAAAAAAUAGAUGUUGACGUCUAACUGAAUUCAAAAUUUAGCUCAUGAACGAAGGAUAUUGCUUAAAUCCUUAUAAAAAAAACCUUUCAUUUCUUUUUCACGUUCAAAAUUGGACACCUGAUGUAUGAAUAAUUUAAUAUGAAGGUCCAACAUAAAUUUCAAAUUAUUGGAAUGACUCCUACUCUAAUACAUGUCUAGAUAGACUAUAGGCCUUAUAUAAUUUUAUAUAAUAUUAAAGCAGACAAAGGUCUUGGAGAUCGAAUCCACCAUCACCUUUAGUAUAAAGAAUGAAAUACCUUAAACCCAUUUUUCGAAGUUAAUUUGAUCUGACACGGAGUUGUUGACGAUAACGAUGAUGAUGAUGAUGAUGCAAACACUACUCGUCUAUGGACAGGCAAUCUUACUGUCCUUGUAGUGAAAGAUGAUUUGGUAACUAGAAAAGAUGUUGAAAGAGAGUUUACCACAGCCAUUGAAGUUAAUGGAGAGAAGAAAAAUAAGAAGAAAAGAGUGAGAGAAUGCUAAGGAAUGUUAGUUUAUGGUAUGAAGUAUAGUUGUUGAGGGACUUUAUAUUAUAUAGUUUUUUCUGUAACUUAAUCUUGCUAGUACUGUUUGGGGAAGACUUAGUACACAUUACUACUUUUAAUUUGUAGUACCUAACAAAAAGAGUUUGGAUUUUAUUUGCUUAUAUUAUAUAUUAUAGUAUAUCUAACUGCUUGGUGCUAGAGUUUUUUUAAUUUGUUUUGGUAAGUUAAAAUAGAUGAUGAAUAAUAGUUUCUUUGUUAUAAUUUAUUUGUUUUGUGUUGAUUUGAACUAAAUCGUUUAAAAAAAUAAAAAGAAAUUUUGAAUCUUGUGAUCUUAAAUCAAAGAUAUGUUGUUAUAUGUACCAAAAUGUGCUUUAAUCGAAUGGUUUUAAACAUCUCAAGUGGAAAAAUUAUAGAUAAAAGAGUUAUCACAAAAAAAAAACUUUUUUUUAAUUGAAAUGGACUAAGAAGAAAAGUAGGACAAAUAAAUUGAAAUGAAGAGAGCAAUACUUGUUUCGAUGGUUGUUAUCUAUUGUAUUACAUUGCUUUUAGAUACUAUAUUUGUUUUUUAUUAUUACAUUUUGAAUUUGUUUAUAUCAUAUUGUUAAAUUCAUUAGGUUAUAAGACGAUUAAAAUUCUCAUUUUAUGUAAUGACUGAAUUUGAUAUGAUUGUGUUGUUAUAUUUUCUUCUUUUUUUGAUAAUAUUAUAAAUUUAUUUUUAAAAUUAUUAAUAUGUAUUAUAAUAUAUAUAGCAACAAAAAAUAAUAUAGUCUAUCCAAAUAUAUUUAAAAACAAUACAACAUAAUACGGUAUAAAAUAAGUUUCAACCAUCCAUAGUGAAACCAACAAGUUAAUAAAUUAUAUAUCCUCAAGAAACAUAGUGAGUUUCAAGUCGAAAUUGAGGUUAUAUAGUGCUUUGACUAUCAACAUAAAAUAGAUCAAUUAUAUUUUAGUAAUAAUAAUUAUCAAAAGGAAUAUACAUAUAAAAAUUAUAAUUAUUAUUGGAAAUAAUUAUUGGAUCAAGUCCAUGGUCUAAUUUUAUUCCAUUAGUUAUUUAGUUUGUCCUCUUUUUUAAUGAUAAUCACAUUUUUUAAUAAAGAUUCCACUAUGAGCAUAGUAAAAUAUAGUUUCUUUCAUAUUAGAUGAUGAUUACGAUUAAUAAAACGUUAUAUAUCUCUAAAGGAUAUCUAAAUUGUGGACAAAUGAUGUUCAUCCACAUUGUGAGAAUAUUUGACAAUUAAUAACACAGGUCAUGAUUACUGCAGAGUCACUUCUGCUUUAAAGAAAUUCAUAAAUCUUUUGAACUAAUAUUUACGAUUCAUGUACUACAACUAUUAUAUAUAUAAUGGUCAUCUUUGUUGUUGUUGUUGUUAUGGUCUAGCCUUACUAUUUGGGAUUAAUGUGUAUAUAGUAGGAGUAUAACUUUUCCAAGAGUUCCACUUGAUUAUUAAAAACUUUGCUUUUCCAGCUUAUAUAUUGUGUAUCUACAACCCCUCUCUUUAGCACUUCCACAUCAUGAAAUAAUUUCAUUUAAUGUUUGGACUAAGGUUGAGGCCAUGAUCCUCUAAACGCGAUAUGGAUAGAAAUCAUCCCAAAAGUUUGAGAGAUUUUUGUGGGAUUGAAUGAACCAACCUGCCUUUUGUAGGCUAGCUCUUUUUGUGUGUUAAUAGUUAAAUGAACUUGUCUCCAAAGUUUCUCUGUUAUCACAUAACUGAUUUAUCUAAAUUUUUCUCACUUUCAUCUUCCAUCUCGGCUAUGUUUGAUUCACUGUUUCCUUCUCUUUUUAAGUUGGAUUGAUGUCAUUGAGUUGAAGAUCUUUCAUAAACAGCCUCUUUAUCUCCACAAAGUAGUGGUAAGAUUUGCACUCUGUACAUUCUACAUACUCUACUAAGUGAGAUUUCACUAGGUAUAUUGUUGUUGAUGAUGAUAAUAUUUUUCACUAGGGAAAAUAUUGAAAAGCUCCUUCUUCUGUUGAUAGUUUUAGAUGAAUAAAUAUUAAGGUGGAAAGCUUCCAUCUUAAAAACUGAAUUACCAUUUUACCGCUCUACUAAAUUAAGAAUUUAAUUAAAUAAUAAUAUUUUAAUUAUCUAAAGAUUGAAUUAUAUAAAAUUAUAAAUGCAUCUUUCUUAUAUUAAAAAAUAAAAUUGACCUAGAUUUAAAAUGAAUUGUAAUCCAAAAAUAGAAAGUAGAAACGCUUUCUCUCCUAAGGAAGUUCUCAAACAAACUAAAAAUUCAAAGUUCCUCUUUCUCCUAUCAAGAUGGUGAUUUUCUAAUCGAACAAGAAUGAACUGUAGUUGGUUCUAAAAGAAGUAACUAUAAAAAAAAUUAACACAGAUAAAUUGGUUUAAAAAUACAUAAUGAAUAUCAAAUAGUAAGAUUAUAUAAAUCAACAUGUUAAUCUGUAAUUUUACCAUUUCCUGAAUUGCUACCAUAGACCUUUUCUUUUAUGAACUUCAUCGAAAUGAUAAGUAUUGGUACAACAUGAGGAAAUAUUUUGCCACACACUCACAUGCAAUUAAAUUAGUCUUAGGUUAUUAGCAUUUUAAUAUUAAUAUUUAACAUAUUAAAUUGCUUUAUUUUGAAGUUAUAAGAAUGACCAUUGGUAGGCAUUUGUGUUUUAAACUACCAAUUUAAUCAUGAUAUUCAUCUUUGACUUGGUAGUCAUGUAAUGCCAUUACUUUUGGCUUUGUUGGCGGAAUUCAUUAUGAGAUACAAACAUUCCAAUAAACAUUGGAAUGGAUAACUUCUACAUCAUCCAUUAGCAUUGCUUAUCCAUCACUUUAUUUCAUUCUUAAUUCCUCCAUUACUCUUUGUAACAUAUGUAACUCCUUUAUAACUUAUGAAACUCCUAAGACCAUUAUCUUCACUAUUUAGUACCUCCAUUAUCUUCCUAUUCAUUGCUAGGAAGACUUCUUGUAGUAUAAAUAGUGGUGGUCUUCAUUUGGUUUGGAACACACAAAAAACACAAGAGAAAACAAAGAGUGAAAGAGCUAGUCUAAAAGAGAGUUCUUAUUAGUUGAAGGGAGGUGUUUUUUUUUUGUGGAUCUUUGGACUCAACUCUUGUCCAGAGUUGUUAAGUUAUACUUUGUAAAGGUUGUUGUAUCCUGGAGGGGACAAGUUUAAGAGGACUACUGCUGGACCGGUGAAAACAUUUGCUGCAGUGGGCUUGAAUCUCCUUAAGGAGAGCGAGAUAUCCGCGCCUCAGCUUGAAGAGAUUAAUUUCUUCAUUUUAUAUUCAAUUGUAAUCUUGCAAUUUUAUUAUCUUGUAAGUUUUUUCACUAACAAUUAGUAUAAAGCACCGUUAUGUUUCUCUUAACUAAGUUGUAUUCAUAUAUGAUAUAACUUACACUAAUUUAAUUGCAUGUCAAGUGUAUGACAAAAUAUUUCUUUAUGAUGUAUUACUACGCUAUCAUUUUGAUCAAGCUCACGAAAGAACAUGUUAUAUGCUAACAAUACAACAAAGAAAUAGUAAAAAGUCAUACAUGAAUAUGUUAGAAUAUACAAUAUUAUUAUUUAAUGUAAUAACUUGAUACUCAUUAUUUAUUCACCAACGAAUUUAUAUUUGCAUUAACUCGGUUUUUUUGUUACCUCUUUAGGACCCACUAUGAAUCAUUCUUGUUCAAUCAUAAAAUCACCGUCUUGCUAAUAGGAGGAUCUUAUGGGAAAAUCUUAGGAACAUUAAAACAUCUUAUAAAGAUAUGUGGCUCAUUAGAGGUGAUUUUAAUGAGCUAACUUUUUUUCUUUUUUUUUAAUAGAAAAAAAAAGGAUCUCAAUGAGAAGCACAAGCAAGUGGGAUUAGGCUUCCUUACUAAUCUUGAUGAGGUAAAGGACCUCUACAAAUUAACAAGCAUGAAUAAACUACGAGCUAGAGAAAGCUAGAUAUUGCAUAUUCAUCAUAGAGUUUAUAAUAAAUUCUAUGAUGAUACUACAAUGAGAAUGCUUAAGUAAUUCAAAAAUACAAAAUCUAAGAAUAAAGUUGGUUAUCAAAGGAAUUCUGGAAGAAGAAAAAAACAGUGGUAACCCUUUCUGAGUAAUUACAAAAAAUUGUGUUCUAUUGGCUUAUUUGAGAUCUCGACAAUUAUUUUGGGGUUUAUCUGAUUGUUUGAGGUUUUUGUAUUGGAUUUGAGUUUUAUCUAAUUAUUUGAUUAUUUGUCAAAGCAGAUAUUGAAUGUAUCAACUUCUUUUUUGCUUAUGAUUCAGAAUUUUCCUGGUUCUAAUUUUACUCUCCUUGAGAAUUUUUUGUAAUUUGCACUUCUAACUCGCAUUUGUCUAUUCUCGUGAAGCUUAGUACUGAAUAGAAGCAAUAGAUAGGUGCAAAAAGGUUUCAAGUUCAUGUUCAAUUAAGUUUUUUUGUGAGUUUCAUGGGAUAAAACAACAACUUACUACAGCUUAUACUCCUCAACGAAAUGGAGUAUGUGAGAGGAAGAAUGGAACAAUCAUGAACGUUGUAUGAAGCCUUUUACAAAAGAGCCAUGCUCCAAAAGUUUUUUGGCCUGAAGCAGUUUGUUGGAGCGCUUAUGUGCUUAAUCAAAGUCCGUCUCGUUCUAUUCAGCUUUGACACCAGAUGAAGCUUAGAGUGGACAACAACCAGAUUUUCAACAUUAAUGAGUGUUUGGGUGCAUUGCAUAUUCUCAUGUUCCAGAUCAGAAAAGGACAAAGCUUGAUGACAAAGUCAAUAAGUGAGUUUUUCAUAGGUGUUAGCAGGGAGUCGAAAUCUUAAAAGUUGUACAAUAGUGAUUAUCAAUUGUGGUGUAGUAUUUGAUGUAGAUAAUUUAUUGGUCGUGUGAAGAAAAGCCAAAUAACCAAUAGCUCCUUUGGAUCUUGACGAUGGAGAUAAAGAGCAAGAGCUGUAGAAAAUAUGAAAGGAAAAAUAAUAUCAUUAGAAAAUGCUCAAUUUUAUUAUAGGCUACUUAAGUCCACUUGAGAUGAUUACAAUCAUCAACUACAUCACAAUUUAUACUACUCAAAAUAGAAAACAAAAAGUCUUGGACAAAUAACUAAAUACAUGUAUCACAAUUUACUAGAUACAUGUACUACGGAAUUUUAAAAGACUUCUUCAAAAACUAUGAGACAAUUUUGGAAGACUAAACAUUGAUGCAUUAAUUCCAACACUCCCCCUUAAUGCAUUUGCUUGAUAACUCCAAUGCGUUCUCGAAGAUAGCAAAAUUUUUCUCUAUGAAGUUCUUUGGUGAAAAUGUCAGCAAGUUGUUCUCCUGUCUGACAAUAAUGCAACUGAAUUUCGCCUUUCUUUUGUGCUUCUCGGAUAAAAUGACACUUUAUGGAAAUAUGCUUUGAUCUUUCAUGGCUGACUGGAUUCUUGGCAAUUGCAAUUGCUGAUUUUUUAUCAUAAUAUAGAACAGUCCUUUUUUGUUUUGUUUUUCACCAAUUUCUUCAAAUAUUCUCCUAAGCCAAAUAGCUUGAGAAGUAGUCUUGGAUGCUGAAACAUAUUUUGCUUCGGCAGUGGAUUGAGCAACAACACUUUGUUUUUUUGAUUACUAAGAACAAAUGCUUGAUCUAAAUAAGAAAGCAUAACCAGAGGUACUCUUCAUGUCAUCUAUACUUCCAGCCCAAUCACUAUCAGAAUAACCAAUUAAGUUCAAAUUUUCAUCAAAUUUGUACAUUAUCCCAUAAUCCAUUGUUCCUUGCAAGUAGCGUAGAACACGCUUUGCAGCUCCAAAAUGCACUUGGCUUGGUUCUUGCAUGAAUCUUGAUAAUAAACUAGCAGCAAACAUAAUAUCUGGCCUUGUUGAAGUAAGAUAUAGCAAACUUCCAAUCAAACUCCUAAAAUGUUAGCUAUUAACUUUCUUUUCUCCGUCAUCUUUUCUAGAAUUCUCAUUUGCUGCAAAUGGUAUGGCCACAGACCUGCAAUCCAUCAUUUUGAAUUUUUGAAGAAUACUUUUAGUAUAGUUCUUUUGAGAAAUGAAAAUUCCUUCUUUCACUUGAGAAACUUCGAUUCCCAAGAAAUAAUUUAGUAAUCCAAGAUCACUCAUUUCAUAAGCUUGCAUCAUAUAUUGUUUGAAAUUUUGCAUCAUCUUUACAUCACUUCUUGUAAAGAGCAAAUCAUCCACAUAGAGACAAGCAAUGAUAAUGAUGUCAUGUUCUUUCUUCACAUACAAAGUGGCUUCACUUUUACUUCUCUGAAAAUUAUUUUUCAGAAAGUAUGUAUCAAUUUCAUUGUACCGGGCUCUUGGAGCUUGCUUCAGCCCGUAAAGAUCUUUUUUUAGUCUAUACACCUUUUCUUCUCCCCAUUAAACAAAAAAUCCAUGAGGUUGCUAUAAAUAUCUUCAUCAAGUUUUCAAUUCAUAAAUGUUGAUUUAACAUCAAGUUGAAAUAUCUUCCAUUUCUUUUGUGCAGCAACAACAAUUACAGUUCUAAUUGUCUCAAGACGAGCAACUGGAGAGAAAGUUUCAUAAAAAUCAAUACCUGGUUUCUGCGUGAAGCCUCUAGCAACCAAACUUGUUUUGUGCUUUUGAAUAUCUCCUUCCUGAUUGAGUUUGAUUUUGUCCAUUUUAGACUUACGACUUCUUUUUCUCUAGGAAUAUCCACAAGCUCCCAAGUAUUUUUUUUUCGAUCAUUCAAAUUUCUUUUUCCAUGGUUUUCUGCCAAACAUCAUGCUUUAUUGCUUCUUCAUAAUUUUUUGGCUCAACACCAGAAAAAUUACAUCUUUGAUAAAUGUCACUCAAUAUUUUUGUUCCUCUUGGAGGCGGUUCUUCAUUAUCUGAAUCUGGGAUUUCUCUCCCUUGAGAGACAUCUUCAUCUUUCUCAUCCUCUUCUUGAUUUAAAGAUAUGACAGUAGUAUUCUCUAUCUUUUUAUCCUCCCAAUUCCAUGUUGUUUUUUCAUCAAAAAUGACAUCUCUACUAACAACAAGUUUGUUAGUUUUGUCAUCGAGAAGCCUAUAUCCUUUUGUCACAUCACUAUAACCAAGAAAGACACAUUUUUGACUUUUUUCAUCCAAUUUUGUUAUUUUCUCAGCAGGUACAUGAGCAUAACAAAUACACCCAAAUUUUUUAAAAUAACUUACAGAAGGUUUAAUUCCACUCCAAGCUUCAACUGGUGUCUUGUCCUUUAGUGCCUUUGUUGGACACCUGUUAAGGAUGUGCAGUGUUGUAUGCACUUGCCCAAAAAUAUUUUGGUAGCCCUUUCUCAUUCAUCAUAGUUCUGGCCAUUUCAACAAUUGUUCUAUUUCUUCUUUCAGAUACACCAUUUUGUUGAGGAGUAUACCCUGCUAUAAGUUGCCUCUGAAUGCCUUCAUUUUUGUAAUAUUCUUUAAAUUCUCGACUUGUGUAUUCACCUCCUCAAUCACUGCGAAUGGUUUUGAUGUUGCAACCUUUUUGCUUCUCAACAAGGGCUUUAAAUUUCUUGAAUGUAGCAAAUGCUUCUGACUUUUCUUUAAAAAAUUAAACACUAGUCAUUCUUGAGAAAUCAUCAAUAAAGAUUAUAAAAUACCUUUGACUUCCAAGAGAUGGAGUCUUCAUUGGUCCACAAAUGUCGGUAUGAAUUAGUUCCAAAAAUACACUUGCUCUCUAAGACACCCCUUUUGGAAAAGACUUCAUGUGUUGCUUUCCCAUGAUACAACUUUGACAUGUAUCCACCUCAGUAUGUAUCUCAGGAAGGCCUUGCACCAUGUCCUUUUGCUUAAGAAGCUUUAAACCAUGAAAAUUCAAGUGACAAUAUCUUUUGUGCCAAAGCCAUGAAUCAUCUACAAUUUCAUUUUUAAUGCAUUGUAAUGAAAUUACAAAGGGAAGUUUCUUUUUAUCAUCUUUACUUCAACAAUGACUUGAUUUGGCUCAAUUUUAUCAUAAAUCUUGCAAUAAUUAUCUCUAAACACAAGAGAAUAACCAUUUUCCAUGAGUUGACCAACACUAAACAAAUUUUCUUCCAAGUCAGGAACAUAAAGAACAUCAUGAAUUUGCUUACCGCAUCCUUUCAUGUUGAUCGAAAUAGUACUUUUACCUUUCGCAUCAACUAAUGCUCCAUUCCCCAUCUUCACUUUAGUAGUGAUGCGCUAUUGACUUAGAGGCGAUUAGAACUUCUAGAAUAGUUAUUAUUAAUUGACAGAAAAGCCUUUCAUCUCCAGUCAUGUGAUUAUUACAACCACCAUCAACAUACCAUUCAUUGCUUUUUGUUGAAUCAUCAGAUUUAGAAGCAAAGAAAAGAUUUUCUUCCCUUUCUUCCUCAUGUUUUUCACAAAAAUUUGCUUGCUCCCGUUUCUUGUGCCAACAAUCCUUUUCAACGUGUCCAAACAUUUUACAAAAGUUACAUUGGGGCUUGCCUUUGUGCCAACAUUUUUCUGCAUUGUGAUUAGUCUUUUUGCAAACUUUACAAAAAAGACUAGAGUUUUUCUCACCUUGUUCUUCAACCUUCUUGGAAGAACCGUCAUGAUCCUCCGUCUCUUUGGGUCGAUCUUUACGAAAAAAACUUCGCUUCUCGUGUGCACGAAAUGAUCCAACUAGCUCUUUGAUGGAAAGCUUAGAAAGAUCUUUCGUCUCCUCAGUGAUAGCAACGAUGUACUCAUAAUUUUCUGUGACACUAAUUAGAAUACUUUCCACAACUUGUUGUUCAAAAAUUGUAUCACUGUGAUUUCUUAUUUCAUUAACAAUAUUCAUGACUCUUGUGCAAUAUUCAUCAAUUUUUUCAGAUUCUAUCAUCUUUAAAUUUUGAAACUCUCUUCUAAGAGUUUAAAGAUUCAUAGUGCGUACCUUUUCGUCACCAUACGCCUCAGUUUCAAUAAAAUUCCAAGCUUCUUUGCAGUCUCACAAGUAGCAAUUUUUGCAAAAUAUGCUCUUGAGACUCCCAUUUGGAUUUUUCUCAAGGAUUUUGCAUCUUGACGAUACUUAGCCUCAAGAUUUUUCAUCUCUGCUGUUGUAAGAUCACCAUCAUUUUCUUGCUCUUCAAAGCCAUUUGCAAUAAUAGUCCACAAACCUUCAGCUUUCAAAUGUGUUCUCAUUCUUAUCUUCCAGUAUUCAAAAUCAGUUCCAUAAAAAAAUGGAGUAAGAACAACUGAAGAAUCAGCACCUUCAUUUGUUUUGGAUGUCAUAUUCUUUUUCUUCACCUAACCUCAGAUUAAGAACGAAAACCUGCACUUGAUAUCAAUUUGUAGGAAAUAUGAAAGGAAAAAUAAUAUAUUUACAAAAUGUUCAAGUUUAUUAUAGGCUACUUAAGGCCAUUUGAUAUGAUUACAAUCAUCAACUACAUCACUAUAUAUACUACUCAAAAUAGAAAACAAAAAGUCUUGCACAAAUAACUAAAUACAUGUAUCACAAUUUACUAGAUACAUGUACUACGAAAUUCUAAAAAGACUUCUUGAAAAACUAAGAUUCAAUUUUGGAAGACUAAACAUUGAUGCAUUAAUUCCAACAAGAGCAACUAGUAGCCGAUGAAGGUGAUUCUACCUUGGUACAUCAAGAAGGAACCAACUUCGACCUCAACAAAAUCGAACAAGGCAAACAUGGAUGGCAUAUGGGUGAGUGGAAAUGUUCAAUCUGGAAAUAAAUUCAUCUACAUAUUUAGCUUUAUUUUCUGGUUGUGAUCCCAUAAAAUUUGAGGAUGCCUAUAAAGAUGUAAAGUGGCAAAAAGCAAUGGAUGUUGAGAUUGCCGCUAUUGGAAAAAACAAUACAUGGGAGCUUAUGGAUCUUCCAAAAGUCCAAAGAUCUAUUGGAGUUAAAUGGAUUUAUAAAACCAAACUCAAUGAGUCUGGUGAAGUUGAUAAGUCCAAGGCGCUCUUGGUUGUGAAAUGAUACAAUCAAGAGUAUGGUGUGGAUCACAAAGAGGUCUUUACCCCGGUAAUUAGACUUGAUACCAUCGGAUUGAUGUUGGCAUUGGCAGCUCAAAACAAUUGGCCGAUUUAUCAACUUGACGUAAAAUCAGCCUUUUGGCACGGAGAGUUGCAAGAGCACAUAUAUGUUGAUUAACCUCCUGAUUAUGUGAUGCAUGAAAGUGAUCAUAAAGUUUAUGGAUUGAAAAAAGGCUUUAUAUGUGCUAAAAAAAGCUCCUCGAGCUUGGUAAAGUCACAUUGAUGCAUAUUUUAAUCUAGCAAAUUUUAGAAAAUGUCCAUACGAGCAUACACUUUAUAUACAAAACUUGCGAAUGGGAAACUUGUGAUUUUAUGCUUGUACGUAAACUAUUUGAUUUAAACUGGGAGUAAUCCUAUAUAUUUUGAAAAAUUUAAGUUAACCAUGACGACUGAGUUUGAUAUGUCUGAUCUUGGCUUGAUGCAUUACUUUUUGGGCAUUGAAGUAAAGCAAUCAAGUAUUGAAAUUUUUACUUCGUAGAAGAAAUAUAUCCAGGAAACAUUACAGAGUUUUGGAAUGCAGAGUUGCAAUUCUGUCACAACACCAACAGAGUUGGAACUGAAAUUGGAAAAGAAUCUUAUAGGAAAGAAGAUUGACAACACUUUUUUCAAACAACUCGUGGGAUGUCUGAUGUAUCUGACAGUCACCAGGCCUAACAUAAUGUAUUUUGUUAGUCUUGUUGGCAGGUAAAUAAAGCAUCGAAAAGAGAUUCUUUUGUUUGUUGCUACAAGAAUUCUAAGGUAUUUUCAAGGUACCAUUGACUACUUGAAUACAAGAAAGAAGGCAAGUCAGAGUUAAUUGGCUUUACAGAUAGUGAUUUUGCUGGAGAUAAAGAAGACAGGAAAAGCACUUUUGUUUAUAUGUUUAUGCUUGGAUUUGAAGUUGUUUCUUGGUGCUCCUAGAAGAAACCAAUUGUUACAUUAUCCACUAUAGAAGCAAAAUUUGUAGUUGCAACUGUGUGCGCUACCCAAGCAAUUUGGUUGAAGAAGAUAUUGGUUGAGCUUCAUGUUAGACAGCAAGAACCAAUCUUAUUUACUGCGAUAAUGUCUCGGCGAUUAAGCUUUCAACGAAUUCAGUAUUGCAUGGAUGGAGCAAACACAUAGAUGUUAAAUUUCACUUCUUGAGAUCUCUCACGAAGGAGAAAGUUAUUGAUAUUGUCUACUGUAGAAGUGAAGACCAAGCUGCUGAUAUCUUCACAAAGUCCCUCAAGUUGGCAACAUUCAGAAAGUUAAGGAAGCUACUUGGAGUUUGCACUUUAAAGGAAAGCAACGAUGAAUAAUGUUAUUAAGCUGAAGUCGUAAGACUUAUCAUUUUAAGGGAGGGUUUAUUAGAUAUUUUAAUAAAUUAAGUUUCUUCAUUCCUAGAUUUCAGGGUAUAUGGUUGUUAUUCCCAAAUUACUGGAAACGUGUGACUUAAUGGGUCAAUUUAAUUUCUUUUAUGGCUUAGUGGUUGAGAUAAUGUAGGAUUAGACAUGCCUUAAUUUCAUAAAGGUAUCACUUAUGCACAUAAUAAUUUGUUAUAGAAAAUAGUUGUCUACAAUUAUCAUAAUAGUAUUAAUAUAAUUACGGUAAAUUAGUUGUAAACAUAUUUCUAUAGUAAGAUAAAUAUUUAUAAAAUUAUGUAUGUAUAUGUGUUAUCUGAGUGAUUUCUACACUUGAUAAAUAUAGUACUAGCAUAUUAUUAUUUUUUACGCAUGAAUCAUAUACUCAUCAAAAUAGUAUUAAAUUGAAGACAAAUUCAUCAAAGACAUGUUAAAAGUAAAUUAAUAAGACAAUCUUUAUAAUAAAAUUAUGAGAUUAUGUAACUAUUAUAUGUUUUAUGCCCUAGAUUUCUUCUAUCGAACAAUAUAUUUAUUAAAAUAGUAUAUUAAAGGUGUGUUCAUCUUUAUAUUCGAUUAAUUACUUUUUAAGGUUUUAAUUGUAAAUUUUAUUAAAUAUAUUACAGGUUAGAUAUAGCUAUCUAUGACUAAUAAUUAUAUCAAAUUUAAAUAAAAAUCAACUUCAGAAUUACUUAAAUUUUAUCUUGAUCCUACUUUGAGAUUAUUAUUUUUUUGGUAAUUAACUGUAUAUUCAUUAAUCAACAAAUGGUAUUGACAGAUUAUGACAAAUUGCAUCACAGUUUGUUAACUAGAAAAAACAAAACUCAGAGGAGAUAUAAGGGAUGUGUUCAAGAUUUCUACUUUUGCCUUCAAAAAGUCUAAUUUCAGAUUAUUUUUUGUUUGGCUCAAACCUAUUCUAUUAAAACAAUACAUAUACAUUUUAAUGCAAUUAAUUUAAGGUGUUCAUCGUUGGAUUUAAUUCAAUUUUAUAUACAUAUUGUUAAGCUUUAAACAUAAUUGAAUAAAUAGUGAUUACCGUUAAUUGCUUUAAAUUAAGAAAAUUUACAUCAAAGUAGAAGUAUAAAAUUACACUAAGGAUUAAGUUUCACUCAAGUUCAUCUUGAUCAAUUAUUUUGAGAGAAUUAUUAUUUGACUCAAAUUUAUUCGAUCGAAAUAAUAUGCAUAUUAAUGUUGAUCUUUCUGCUUGGUUCUAUUUUAAUAUAUUAUUUAAAUUGUAAAUUUCAAAUAAUUUUAAAUGAAUUUAAGAAAAAAUUCUUUAAGGCUCACACAAGCUUCAUCAUGAACAGGUGCUUCAGAAAUAGUUAUUUGACUCAUGUCUCUAUUUUGAAUAUUGAAUACAAUAGAAUACAUAUACAUUUGGAUAUUUGUCAUUUUUUAUGGACUGUCCAAUUAGAAAUACAAAUGCAUUUGAAUAUAAGAGUUCAUCCAUUUUUUGUACAGUGGAAUACAUAUACAUCUGGAUAAUUAUAUUGCAAUCAAUUCAUUAUCAUUUGUUUUUUAACUGAAUUGUUCAAUUAUAUUGAUAUUUUAACAAAAUUAUAUUAAUAAAUAUCGGAAUACAAUUAUUCGCAAUUACAAUAAACUAAGUUAAAACAAACUUAUGUGAAAUGCCUUAACAUUUGAACAAAAACAAUAGCAACAAUGAAGAAUGGUGUACAAUGUAUUUCAUUUUUUUUAAAACUGACUAGAAUUCAAAAGUAUCUGCUGACCAUAUAAUUAUUAGUUUUUAAUGUAAUGAUGUGAGAUUGAGAAUUUUAGGACAUAAUUAACGAGAUUGUUAUAGUACUAAAAAUUACCUUAUAUAAUGCAGUAUAAUUGAAAUUGUAAAAAAAUAAGAAACAAAACAAUAUACAAAUACGGUGAAAUAUUAAUUAAAAUGUACUCUUUUUUUUAAAUAGCACUGAAUUUCAAUAAUCUAGUUAUUUAUAUAAAUUGCUCUAAAAUUAAUCUCAAUUUUAUCAAAAGAAAUUAUUAUAUUUAUUCCACGUACCAAAACGACUCCUCAAUUUUGUAAAGUCCAAAUAGUAGAGGAGGGAGGCCCUUUGAUCGAAAAAAAUUAGAAGAGUCCCAAUUCAAAAUGAGCCCACCAGACAUUCACACCAAUAAACAAUGGUCACUAUGUCCUCAUAGAAGUUAACGAUGGUGAAAACCCUAUAAAUACCUAAUAAGCUCCUCUUUACAUAUCUCACUCCGCCAUAAUAGAUCAAAAGCCCUUAAUUUCUUAUUCCUUCAAGGUUUUGGAUCUGUAGCUGCUCCUUUUUUCUAUCAUUCCCUUUUUGGGCAAAUCAAGAUAUGUUUAUCUAUCUAUUGUUUUGUUUUUUGCCUGAAUUUCGUGUUUUUUAGAACAAGUUGGUGUUCUUCUUUAGUGUGUGUUUGUGAUUUUAGGAUUUUGUUGAAGAUCAAUAAAUGUUGGGUUUGUUUUUGUAGAUUUGGCAUAGGUGGGUGAGAACUGAGUGGUGACUAUUCUGAGUGGAGGUUAUGGCUAGGAAUCGAGAAGAGGGAAGCUCAUCUGAGAUCAAGUUCGAUAAGGGGGUAGAUCUGCUAUGUUUUGGGGUUUGAAUUUGGAAAAAGAGGAGCUUGACGAAGUUGCCUUCAGAUCCCUUUGAUAUGGACAGUAGCAACCAAAGGAUGGGUUUUUCAUCCAUGACUAGUUGGUUAGAGGAUUUUGGCUUUAUGGUAAAUGAGAAUUAAUGAGGUUUGAGAAACUGAUUUGCAAGAUGGGAAUUCAUCAGGAUGCGGGUUUCUAAUUGAUUGAUGGAAAUUGUGAGCCACUGGGGAUGAAUUUCAUAGAGGGGUUGAACAGUGGUCAUGGUCUAAUGGAUGGUGAAUGAUUAUUGUGGUGUGGAUGGAGGUAUUCAUCGUAGGCAUUAUUGGUUGUUGUCCUUGGUUAUUAAGGCUUGGGGGGACCUAUUUGUAGUUGAAAGAAUAUGCAAGCCUUUAUGGGAUGUUGUUGUUGGAGAUCCAGUUUUAUGGAGAAAAAUUAACAUAGUUCAUCCAUUUUGUACUAACAUCACAAAUGAUAUCCUUAUAAACUUGACGAAUAGAGCUCAAGCCCAUCUUCAUUCGCUCAGUCUAUUUCACUACUCAAAGCUCACUGAUGUUGGUUUGAAGCUCAAAGGUUAGUUGUUUCGCUUGUGUUUUUUGCUUAGUUAUUAGGAAUUGUAUUAGCUUAACAGUUAUAAGUAGUAAGACAUCUAUUAAGCACACAGUUAGUUUAGAAACCCUAACUUGUAAACCACAAUUUUUCAUACUAAACUUAUAUGCAAUUUGAAUUUCCAUGUUGAGGUCUCUUCAGCACGCCUCAGUACUCAUUAGGUUAUUCCAGGGCCUUGCCAACAUUUGACAGACAAGAGAAAUGUCCUCUGAUUGAUGCAACACUUGAAGAAUGCCUAUAUAUAUGGUAAUAACUAAUCUCUCCAUAACUUGUGUAGGAGUCUUCUAUUGUUCCCAGACGAGAAAGACAGGUGAGGGCGAAAUGGACAGUCUCCAUGGCUUCACCAAGUAAGCAUCGCAAACCCCAAAGGAUAAUUUUUGAAAAAUAUCUAUUGUAUGUCUGGUUUCAUUUUGUUAUUUGUUGUAUUUAGUAUUGGAAUGAAACAAAGCAGAAAGGAUUUAGUAUUCCUAUGGUCUACCCCAUCUAUUUAGUCGUUUAUGUCACAUAAUUUCGUUAUUGUUAAUUUUCCCAUAUGUGUAUCCCUUUUUCAAACUAGUUGGCAUGCUUUAAUUUAUGCAGAGUUUGUUUAUCCACAAGUUAAGGACAAAAUAUGUUUAUACUCUAUCCUUUAUAAAUCAAACUUGGCGAGAUUUUACUUGUUAUCAUUGUUGUUGUUGUUGUUAUGGUCUACCCAAACUAUUUUGGAUUAAUGUGUAUAUAGUAGGAGUAGAACUUUUCCAAGAGUGUCACUUGAUUAUUAAAAACAUUGUUUUUCCAGCUUAUAUUUUGUAUAUCUACAACCCCUCUCAUUCGCACUUCCACAUCAUGGAACAAUUUCGUGAAUGUUUGGACUAAGGUUGCAGCCAUGGCCCUCUAAACGCGAUAUGGAUAGAAAUCAGCCCAAAAGUUUGAGAGAUUUUGGUGGGAUUGAAUAAACCAACCUGCCUAUUGUAGGCUAGCUCUUUUUGUGUCUCCAAAAUUUCUCCAUUAUGACAUAACUGAUUUAUUUAAAUUUUUCUUUCACUUUCAUCUCGACUAUGUUUGAUUCUGUGUUUUCUUCUUUUUGUAAGUUGGAUUUCACUAGGCAUGUUGUUAUUGAUGAUGAUGAUAUUUUUCAAUAGGUAAAAUAUGGAAGAGCUCCUUCUAGUGUUGAUAGUUUUAGAUGAAUAAAUAUUAAGGUGGAAAGCGUCCAUCUUAAAAAUUGAAUUACCAUUUUACCUCUCUACUAAAUUAAGAUUUAAUUAAAUAAUAAUAUUUUAAUUAUCUAAAGAUUGAAUUAUAUAAAAUUAUAAAUGCAUUUUUCUCAUAUUAAACAAUGAAAUUGACCUAGAUUUAGAUUGAAUUAUAUUCCCAAAAUAGAAAGCAGAAAUACACUAGAUUAGGAACGCUUUCUCUCCUAAGGAAGUUUUCAAACAAACUAAAAAUUCAAAGUUUCUCUUUCUCAUAUCAAGAUGGUGAUUUUCUAAUCGAACAAGAAUAAAUCGUAGUUGGUUCUAAAAGAAGUAACUAUAUAAAAACCAAUUUAAUACAAAUAUAAAUUGGUUGAAAAGUAAAUAAUGAAUAUCAAAUAGUAGGAAUAUAUAAACAAUAUGUUCAUAUGCUAUUUUACCAUUUCCUUAUGUUGCUAGCAUAGACCUUUUCUUUUAUGAACAUCAUCAAAGUGAUAGAGUAUUGACACAGCAUGAGGAAAUAUUUUUCCAUACACUCGGCAUACAAUUAAAUUAUUAAAAAAUCACCGUUAUGUUUUUCUUAACUAAGUUGAAUUAAUAUAUGAUUUAACUUACUUGAGAGAAAAAUAACAUAUACUCAUACUAAUUUAGUUGCAUGUCAAGUGUGUGACAAAAUAUUUCUUUAUAAUUUACCACUAGUCCACUACUCUAUCAUUUUGAUCAAGUUCAUGGAAGAAAAUGUUAUAUGAUAACAAUACUACGAAAUGCUAAAAAAUAAUGCAUGAAUAUGUUAGUUUAUAUAGUAUUAUUAUUUGAUAUUCGUUAUUUAUUCGUCGAUAAAUUUAUAUUUGCGUUACGUCAAACUUUUUGUUAACUCUUUAAGAUCGACUAUGAUUCUUUGUUUGAUCAGAAAGUCACAAUCUUAAUAAGUAUUUUGAAUUUUUAGUUUGUUCAAAACAUACAAGGGAAAACAUUUCAAUCUAGGGUGUUUCUCCCUUCUAUUUUUAGAUGGUGAUUCAUUCUAGAUCAACGCAAAUCAACAUUUUUAAUAUGUAGAAGAUGAACGUUGAAUUAUUAGUUUAAGUAAAACUUCCUUACCAGAGCAGCGAUCUAUUUAGAGUGAAGUCAAAUGUUAUAUGUAUGAGUUGUUCACCGUAGUAUAGUUAUGACACCAAUACUACCAAAUUUAGCAACUAGAUAGGAGCAAUGAAAUCUUUCUGCAAUGAACUCUUUUUUCUUAUAAGACUUGCCAAUCACCAUUCAAAAAUAGAAGAGAGAAACAACAUAGAUAGGAGCGCUAUUCCUUGUAAAAAAGUUUUUAAAAAUUCAAAGUUCUUCUUAUCAAGUUGCUGAUUUUAUGAUCUAACAAGAAUGAAUCAUAGUCUGUCCUAAAAGACUUAACAAAAAAAACAGACUUAACACAUAUAAAUUGGUUCGAAAAUAAAUAUAAUAAUGAAUAUCAAAUUAUUAUACCAAAUAGUAAUAACAUAUAAACUAAUAUAUUCAUGUGUGAUUUUACCAUUUUCUUGUAUUGCUAGCAUAUAAGCUUUUCUUUUAUGAACUUGAUCAAAAUGAUAGAGUUGUUACACACAUGAGGAAAUAUUUCGCAACAUACGUGCAAUUAAAUUAGUAUAAGUCAUCAUUAUGUUUCUCUUAACUAAGGUGAAUUAAUGUAUGAUUCAGCUUGAUUAAGAAAAACAUAAUGGUGGUUUAUACUAAUUUAAUUGCAUGUCUAGUGCGUGACAAAAAUAUUUCUUUAUGAUGUACUACUACGCUAUCAUUUUUAUCAAGUUCAUGAAAGAAAAUGUUAUAUGCUAACAAUACAACAAAGAAAUAGUAAAAAAACAUACAUGAAUAUGUUAGCAUAUAUAGUAUAAUUAUUUGAUUUAAUAAUUUGAUAUUCAUUAUUUAUUUGUCGAUAAAUUUAUAUUUGCGUUAAGUCAAUUUUUUUGAUUACCUCUUUAGGACGGACUAUGAUUCAUGCUUGUUAGAUCAUAAAAUCACCAACUUGAUAAGAAUUUUUAGGCGUUCAGAUGUAAUUUUGACUAUUAUUGUCGUCUUUGAAUUUUUUGUUGGACAUUUUGUUGGUUAUUAGUUAAUUUCUUAAGUCAAAUUUGUAUUCUGAUUAGUAAUAGCUAGUUUUCAUAUUCUAUCUCAUUUCUCAAUCAAAUAGACUGAUUAAGAAUUUGUAGUGAUUCUUUAAACUCUGUUUCUCUUAUCAUGAAAUUUGUUAGAGUUGUCUUACAUUAGUUAUCCUUUAAAAUGUCUAUAUAAGCUGAAGUGCUUGAUGAUCAUAAUAGUUUAGGGAGUUCUUAUAUGGUAGAAGAGCAGAUUCAGCAGAAUGUCAAUUUUUAGUGCACUAUCAUUUGUUUGCACUUAAUGGGAGUCUGAAUCUUAAUCAUUCUGAUUCAGUCUAUUUAAGUGCGUUUGGUUUUUAGUGAUUAACAUUCAUUUCAUUAAGUCAAUUUGUUUAUUUUUUUAAAAAAACUCUUAAUGGACCUUAAUGAGUCUAAAUGAUCAACUCUAUUAAAUAAGUAUGUGUUCUUUUCUUAAACAGAUUCUCUUCUUCGUUGCUUCUCUUCUGGACAAGUUUCAAGUUUCUCCCUCUUCUUUUCCAAUCAAGUAUCAUUUUUUUUUCUUUAAAUAAGUUUUCAUAAUCUUUUACAAGUAUUUAUUUAAUAUUUCUAAUAUAUAAAAUAUUCUUGGGUGAAUUGAUAAUUAUGAAGAACUCUUCUUGUCACAAUUCAUUUGUUGUCAAAACUUCUUUGGAAGAAGUUAUCAUUGUUUCUUGAGAAAAAUUAUUUUGAAAAAACAAAUAAUUCAUCUUUUUUUUGGGUUGAGUGAUAAUCUUAUUUUUGAAACAAUUGUUUGGAAGAAGUAUUUUUUGUUUGGAUCAUAUCUAUUAUUGACAUAGUGUUUAAUUUCAAAUUUAAAAAAAAAUAUUAAAAACUAAAUUAGACUUCUUAAUUUAGUUUUCUAUGAAUGUUUUUUUUUAUUGUCGUAAGUCUUUAUUCUUAUUUUGUAAUUAUUACAUUUUCAUAUUCAUUACAAUUUACAUAUGUAUUUCCAUGAGUUUUAGUCAUUCUAACAUAUCUAUAAAAAUUUACAUUAAACACACGUGCGAAACACGUGCUUAAAAACUAGAAAACAAAAAAAGACACAAAUACUGUGAAAUAUUAAUUAAAUGUAGUCUUUUUUUUUGGAAAUAAGACUCAACUACAAUAACCUAGUUAUUUAUAUAAUUUGCUCUAAAAUUAAUUUGAAUUUUAUCAAAAGAAAUUAUUAUCUUUAUUCCACGUACCAAACGAUUCCUCAAUCUUGUAAAGCCCAAAUAAUAGAGGAGGCCUUUUGUUCGAAGAAAAGAAUAGGAGGCCCAAUUCAAUAAAAUGAGCCCACAAGUCGCUCACACCAAGAAACAAUGGUCACACCAAGCCAAUGGUCACGUCAAGGCCUGGAACCGAGGAGAGGGAAGAUCAUCUGAGAUCAAAUUCGAAGGGAGGGUGGAUUUCAUAAGUUUUGAGGUUUGAAAUGGGGAAAAGAGGAGCUUGAUGAAGUUGCAAAUUUUUUGACUUGGGAUUCGUUUGAUAUGGACAGUAGUAACCAAAGGAUGGUUUUCACCCAUCACUAGUUGGUUAGAGGAUUUUGGCUUUAUCGUAGAUGAGAAAUAUUGAGGUAGAAAAACUUAUUCACAUGAUGGGAAUUCAUCAAGGUGCGGGUUUCGAGUUGAUUGAUGGAAAUUGUGAGCCGUUAGGGAUGAUUUCAGAGAUGGGUUGAACGGUGGUCAUGGUAUGGUGGAUGGUGAAUGAUCAUUGUGGUGUGGAUGGAGGUAAUCCAUCACAUGCGUUAUUUGGUGUUGUUGGUUAUUGUCCCAAGGUUAUUUAAGCUUGGGGGACCUAUUUGUAGUUGAAAGAGUAUGCAAGCCACUUUUAUGGAGAAAUAUUAACAUAGUUCAUACAUUUUGUACUAUUAUUAUAAUUGAUAUCUUCAUAAAUUUGACGAAUAGAGCUCAAGGACAUAGACCGAUCAAGAAUUUCUUUAAAAUCUGCUUUUUGAUUAAUGAUUCAUCGACCACUAGAUUCAAGUGUCUCACCCAAUUCUUAAACUAGGUGGCUUGGUUGAUUUGCAAGUUAGUUAAAAUCAGCCAUAUGAAUCCUUGUAUCAUAAAUAUUCUAUUCGAGCCAAUAAUGUUUUAUAAUUUGCACUUCGGUAUUAUAUAACGGCCGUUUGAGUUGAAGAUAAGUUAUUUGGCAUUAUUUUUUUAUUGAUUGUUUGAUUUGUAGUAUAUUAUUAAAAACAACUCCAUUGCAUAAAGUAUUAUACAUUAUGAUAAAUAAUAAACUUUAAUAAUUUAGAGGGUGCAAAUCUACAAAAUGGAGAAACACAUUGAUAAUGGCAUCUUGAUUAUUAUUUAAGAAUGAUUCUGGCUUCACAAAUUUAAAUUCAUUGAUGCUUAAUUACGUAAUACGAACUUUAGUUGUUCUUUCUACAUGGUUUGCCAACUUUAAUUUUCUUUUUUCAUAUUCUUGAUGUAUUUAUUAUUAUUUUCUAUUACUUAUUCAACUUUUAUAAUCUUAACAUUCAUAAAUCUCAUCUUUUCAUAUUCAUAACCUCCAAAUAGUUAAACUAAGACUUUAAGAUAUCUUUUGAUACUCCUUCUAUUGUAUCUAUAUAAAUUCAAUUUCUUUAUCUCAUGAAAUGUCUACCAAGAUUAUAAGGCUAUUAUUUUUGUUUAUAGUUAGAGUAGAUGAAGAAGAAUCUUGAAUUUUGAUAGGAUAUGGAAUGAGACGAUAAAAAGUUAGAGCAUUAUGUACUAAUUUUUUACUUACUUUUCAUCUUUAUAUGCAUCAGUAUUAUAAGAAUAAUGUAUACAUUGUAUUUUUUUAAAAAAAUUGUUUCUUUUUGUCUUUUUUCUCUGUUAGGCUUCUUAAUUUAGUUUUCUAUGAAUAUUUUUUUAUUGUCGUUAGUCUUUACUCUUAUUUUGUAAUUAUUACAUUCAUUACAAUUUACAUAUGUAUUUCCAAGAGUUUUAGUCAUUCUAACAUAUGUAUAAAAAUUUAUAUGAAACACACGUGCGAUGCACGUGCUCAAAAAAUAGAAAACAAAAAUUACUCAAAUAUGGUGAAAUAUUGAUUAAAAUGUAGUCAUUUUUUUGGAAAUAAGACUCAACUUCAAUAACAUAGUUAUUUAUAUAACUUGCUAUUAAUUUGAAUUUUAUCAAAAGAAAUUAUUAUCUUUAUUUCACGUACCAAACGAUUCCUCAAUCUUGUAAAGCCCAAAUAGUAGAGGAGGCCUUUUGUUCGAAUAAAAGAAUAGGAGGCCCAAUUCAAUCAAAUGAGCCCACAAGUCGUUCACAACCAAGAAACAAUGGUCACUCUGUCCUCCAUAGACUAUAAAUACCCUAUAAUUUGGUCUUUAUAUAUCACUUACUCCGUCGUUAUAGUUCAAAAGCUCUUCUUUUCUCAAUUCCUUGUAGAUUUUUGGUGGUGAAGCUGCUCUUUUUACCACCAUUUUCCUUUUUGGGAAAAUCCAGGUAUGUUUUCUAUCUAUUUUUUUCAUUUUCCAUUUUUUUUUGGAUUUUGUGUUUUUCAGGAUCAAGUUAGUGUUUUUGUUUAGUUUGUGUUUGCGAUUUUAUGGUUUUAUUGAUGAUCAAUUAAUGUUGGGUUUGUUUUUGUGGAUUUGGAGUAGAUGGGUGAGUGGUGAGUGGUGAUUGUUUUCAGUGCACGUCAAGGCCUGGAAUCGAGGAGAGGGAAGAUCAUCUGGGAUCAAAUUCGAUAAGGGAGGGUGGAUUUCGUAAGUUUUGAGGUUUGAAAUGGGGAAAAGAGGAGCUUGAUGAAGUUGCAAAUUUUUUGCCUUGGGAUUCCUUUUUAUGGACAGUAGUAACCAAAGGACGGUUUUCAGCCAUCACUAGUUGGUUAGAGGAUUUUGGCUUUAUGGUAGAUGAGAAUUAUUGAGGUUGAAAAAUGAUUCACAUGAUGGGAAUUCAUCAAGGUGUGGGUUUCGAGUUUAUUGAUGGAAAUUGUGAGCUGUUAGGGAUGAAUUUCAGAGAGGGGUUGAACGGUGGUCAUGGUAUGGUGGAUGGUGAAUGAUCAAUUUGGUGUGGAUGGAGGUAAUCCAUCACAUGCGUUGAUUGGUGUUGUUGGUUGUUGUCCCUGGGUUAUUUAGGCUUGGGGGGCCUAUUUGAAGUUGAAAGAGUAUGCAAGCCACUUUUAUGGAGAAAUAUUAACAUAGUUCAUACAUUUUGUACUAUUAUUAUAAUUGAUAUCUUUAUAAAUUUGAUGAAUAGAGCUCAAGGACAUAUAUCGAUCACGAAUUUCUUUAAAAUCUGCUCUUUGAUUAGUGAUUCAUCGGCCACUAGAUUCAACUAUCUCACCAUAAUUUUAAACUAGGUGGCUCGGUUGAUUUGCAAGUUAGUUAGGAUCAGCCAUAUGAAUCCUCAUAUCAUAAAUAUUCUAUCCGAGUCAAUAUUGUUUUAAAUUUUGCACUUUAGUAUUAUAUAAUGGCCGUUUGAGUUGAAGAUAAGUUAUUUGGGAUUAUUUUUUUUAUUGAUUGUUUGAUUUGUAGCAUAUUAUUAAAAACAACUCCAUUGCAUAAAGUAUUAUCUCCUUUAUGAUACAUAACAAACUUUAAUAAUUUCAAGGGUGCAAAUCGGCAAAAUAGAGAAACACAUUGAUAAUGACAUCUUGAUUAUUAUUUAAGAAUGAUUUUAGCUUCACAAAUUUAAAUUAAUUGAUGCUUAAUUACGUGAAACAAACUUUAGUUGUUCUUUCUACAUGGUUUGCCAACUUUAAUUUUCUUUUUUCAUAUUCUUCAUUUAUUUAUUAUUAUUUUCUAUUACUUAUUCAACUUUUGUACUCUUAAUAUUCAUAAAUCUCAUCUUUUCAUAUUCAAAACCUCCAAAUAUUUAAACUAAAACUUUAAGAUAUCUUUUGAUAUUCCUUCUAUUGUAUCUAUAUAAAUUCAACUUCUUUAUCUCAUUAAAUCUCUACAAAGAUUAUUAGACUAUUAUUUUUGUUCUAUAGUUAAAGUAGAUGAAGAAGAAUCUUGAAUUUUGAUAGGAUAUGGAAUGAGUUGAUAAGAAGUUAGAGAAUUAUGUACUAAUUUUAUACUUAUUUUUCAUCUUUAUAUACAUCAGCAUUAGAAGAAUGAUGUAUACAUUGUAUUUUUUUUUGAAAUCUGUUUCUUUUUGUCUUUUUUCUCUGUUAGACUUCUUAAUAUAGUUUUCUAUGAAUUUUUUAUUAUCUUUAUUCUUAUUUUGUAAUUAUUACAUUUUAUUAUUCAUUAGAAUUUGCAUAUGUAUUUCCAUGAGUUUUAAUCAUUCUAACAUAUCUAUAAAAUUUACAAGAAACAAACGUGCGAAGCACGUGCUUAAAAACUAGGAAACAAAAAAAAUACACAAAUACGGUGAAAUAUUGAUUAAAAUGUAGUCAUUUAUUUGGAAAUAAGACUCAAUUUCAAUAACCUAGUUAUUUAUAUAAUUUUCUCUAAAGUUAAUUUUGAAUUUUAUCAAAAGAAAUUAUAAUCUUUAUUCCACGUACCAAACGAUUCCUCAAUCUCUUAAAGCCCAAAUAGUAGAGGAGGCCUUUUGUUCGUUAAAAAAGAAUAGGAGGCCCAAUUCAAUAAAAUGAGCCCACAAGUCGUACACACCAAGAAACAAUGGUCACUAUGUCCUCCAUAGAUCUUACCAAUGGUGAAAAGACUAUAAAUACCCUAUAAUUUGGUGUUUAUAUAUCACUUACUCCGUCGUUAUAGUUCAGAAGCCCUUCAUUUCUCAAUUCCUUCUAGAUUUUUGGUGGUGUAGCUGCUCUUUUUACCACCAUUUCCCUUUUUGGGCAAAUCCAGGUAUGUUAUCUAUUUUUUUUUUUCCAUUUUGUUUUUUGUUUGAAUUUUGUGUUUUUCAGGAUCAAGUUAGUGGUUUUGUUUAGUUUGUGUUUGCGAUUUUAUGGUUUUAUUGAAGAUCAAUUAAUGUUGGGUUUGAUUUUGUUGAUUUGGCAUAGAUGGAUGAGUGGUGAGUAGUGAUUGGUUUCAGUGGACGUUAAGGCCUGGAAUCGAGGAGAGGGAAGAAUAUCUAGGAUCAAGUUCGGUAAGGGAGGGUGGAUUUCGUUUGUUUUGGGGUUUGAAAUGGAGAAAAGAAAAGCUUGAUGAAGUUGCUAAUUUUUUGCCUUGGGAUCCCUUUGUUAUGGACAGUAUUAACCUAAGGAUGGUUUUCAGCCAUCACUAGCUGGUUAGAGGAUUUUGGCUUUAUUGUAGAUGAGAAUUAUUGAGGUUGAAAAAACUUAUUCGCAAGAUGGGAAUUCAUCAAGGUGUGGGUUUAGAGUUGAUUGAUGGAAAUUGUAAGCUGUUAGGGAUGAAUUUCAGAGAGGGGUUGAACGGUAUCAUGGUAUGGUGGAUGGUGAAUGAUCACUGUGGUGUGGAUGGAGGUAAUCCAUCACAUGCGUUGAUUGGUGUUGUUGGUUGUUGUCCCUGGGUUAUUUAGGCUUGGGGGACCUAUUUGUAGUUGAAAGAUUAUGCAAGCCACUUUUAUGGAGAAAUAUUAACAUAGUUCAUACAUUUUGUACUAUUAUUAUAAUUGAUAUCUUUAUAAAUUUGGUGAAUAGAGCUCAAGGACAUAGAUCGAUCAAGAACUUCUCUAAAAUCUGCUCUUUGAUUAGUGAUUCAUCGACCACUAGAUUCAACUAUCUCACCCUAUUUUUAAACUAGGUGGCUCAAAUGAUUUGCAAGUUAGUUAGGAUCAGACAUAUGAAUCCUUAUAUCAUAAAUACUCUAUCCGAGUCAAUAUUGUUUUAAAUUUUGCACUUCAAUAUUAUAUAACGGCCGUUUGAGUUGAAGAUAAGUUAUUUGGGAUUAUUUUCUUAUUGAUUGUUUGAUUUGUAGUAUAUUAUUAAAAACAACUCCAUUGCAUAAAGUAUUAUCAUUUAUGAUACAUAACAGACUUUUAUAAUUUCAAGGGUGCAAAUCGGCAAAAUGGAGAAACAUGUUGAUAAUGGCAUCUUGAUUAUUAUUUAAGAAUGAUUCUAGCUUCACAAAUUUAAAUUCAUUGAUGCUUAAUUACGUGAUACAAACUUUAGUUGUUCUUUCUACAUGGUUUGCCAACUUUAAUUUUCUUUUUCAUAUUCUUCAUUUAUUUAUCAUUAUUUUCUAUUACUUAUUCAACUUUUAUACUCUUAAUAUUCAUAAAUCUCAUCUUUUCAUAUUCAAAACCUUCAAAUAUUUAAACUAAAACUUUAUGAUAUCUUUUGAUAUUACUUCUAUUGUAUCUAUAUAAAUUCAACUUCUUUAUCUUAUGAAACCUCUACCAAGAUUAUUAGGCUAUUAUUUUUGUUCUAUAGUUAAAGUAGAUGAAGAAGACUCUUGAAUUUUGAUAGGAUAUGGAAUGAGUCGAUAAGAAGUUAGAGAAUUACGUACUAAUUUUAUACUUAUUUUCAUCUUUAUAUACAUCAGUAUUAUAAGAAUAAUGUAUACAUUGUAUUUUUUUUUUGAAAUCUGUUUCUUUUUGUCUUUUUUUCUCUGUUAGACUUCUUAAUUUAGUUUUCUAUGAAUGUUUUUUAUUGUCGUAAGUCUUUAUUCUUAUUUUUGUAAUUAUUACAUUUUAUUAUUCAUUAUAAUUUAUGUAUGUAUUUCCAUGAGUUUUAGUCAUUCUAACAUAUCUAUAAAAAUUUACAUGAAACACACGUGCGAAGCACGUGCUCAAAAACUAGGAAACAAAAAAAUACACAAAUAAAGUGAAAUAUUGAUUAAAAUGUAGUAAUUUUUUUGAAAAUAAGACUCAACUUCAAUAACCUAGUUAUUUAUAUAAUUUGCUCUAAAAUUAAUUUGAAUUUUAUCAAAAGAAAUUAUUAUCUUUAUUCCACGUACCAAACGAUUCCUCAAUCUUCUAAACCCCAAAUAGCAGAGGAGGCCUUUUGUUCGAAAAAAAGAAUAGGAGUCCCAAUUCAAUAAAAUGAGCCUACAAGUCGUUCACACCAAGAAAAAAUGGUCACUCUGUCCUCCAUUGAUCUUAUCAAAGGUGAAAAGACUAUAAAUACCCUAUAAUUUGGUCUUUAUAUAUCACUUACUCUGCCGUUAUAGUUCAAAAGCCCAUCAUUUCUCGAUUCCUUCUAGAUUUUUGGUGGUGUAGCUGCUCUUUUAACCACCAUUUCCCUUUUUGGGCAUAUCCAGGUAUGUUAUCUAUUUUUUUCAUUUUCCAUUUUGAUUUUUUGUUUGAAUUUUGUGUUUUUCGGGAUCAAGUUAGUGUUUUUGUUUAGUUUGUGUUUGCGAUUUUAUGGUUUUAUUGAAGAUCAAUUAAUGUUGGGUUUGUUUUUGUGGAUUUGGUGUAGAUGGAGUAGUGGUGAGUGGUGUUUUUUUUCAGUGGACGUUAAGGCCUGAAGGGAGGGUGGAUUUCGUAAGUUUUCGUGUUUGAAAUGGGGAAAAUAGGAGCUUGAUGAAGUUGCUAAUUUGUUGCCUUGGGAGUCGUUUAAUAUGGACAGUAGUAACCAAAGGAUGGGUUUUUUCAGCCAUGACUAGUUGGUUAGAGGAUUUUGGCUUUAUGGUAGAUGAGAAUUAUUGAGGUUGAAAAACUUAUUCGCAAGAUGGUAAUUCAUCAAGGUGCGGGUUUCGAGUUGAUUGAUGGAAAAUUAAGAUCAAAGUCAAAGAAGUCAAGAGUCAAGUCUAGAAGUUAAGAACCAAGUCAAAACAAAGUUCUUCAAAGUUUUCAAGACUUUUUAGCAAUGUUUUAACUAUGUUUUAAAGACUUAAGAGUUGAGUUCAUCAAAGAGAAAAGUUGAAGUUCUUUCCUUAAAGAAGUAUAUGGGGACUAUGUAUUCCCAAAGAGUUUUAAAGAAAUGUUUUCACAUUUAAACAAGAACAGGAACUGAGAUUUCCAAAGAGCAUUCGAGCUAGUUUUGAGAAAACCGCAAAAGCUUUCUAAAUGAAGCAAGCAGGCAAACUGAGAUUUUCAAGAUAGCUUUUAUGCUAUGUUUUGACAACUAAUCUCAAAUCACAGAAGAAGUAUGUGUUAAAAACAUAAGAUCCAGUAUAUUUUGGGAGUAGUAUUGAGCACCGAUUUAGGAACGACCAUGAGUUCAUAUAACUCACAUCUCCAUAAAAUCAUGUAGCCACCAUGGGUAAAAAUAAGGUCAUACUUUUUAGAUGAACCCUUUUCACAAUAGACUAGUGGAUCCAUUAGGCAAUUCAGGUCUUAAACCUUUGGCCGGGUAUAGGAUGCACUGGUAGCGUGAGGUAGAUCGUUGUAUCAUCACUAUAGCUCUUAUGUGAUGGUUGUCGGCUAGAGAAACGUCCACAAAAGUUAUUGUUUUCUUAUAAACAAAAUUUAUUUGUAUUUUGACAUGCAUCUCAUAGUCAAUUGUAUCUAUGCAUAUACACAGAGUUUCCAAUAUAUUUUUAAACAUCUUUUCUUUGUAUUGCACUUGUGUUUAAAUUUUUUUAUAUUAAAAUUAGUAGUUAUGUUGAGUUAGUUGAGCCAGGUAAGUUCUUCAGUUUUUUUAGACUCUUUCUAGCCUAUGUUGUUUAGCAUUCCAACUCGCAUACUCGUACAUGCAAUGUACUGAUACCAGAUGACAUGCAUCGUGUUAUAAUGCAUACAAAGGUAAUGAGGAUCGGCAUCCAGCGCACCAUUUAUCCAGUAUAGCACUCCAGAGUCAGUUGGUGAGCCUCCUUGCAUUUAAAGGACUCCUUUUUUAUAUAUAUAUUAGUUGUUAGGAUGUUGUGGGUUCUGACCAAACAUCCAUCUCAGAUGUUUAGAGACAUCAUAGAUAGUCAAAUGUUAGUCCUUUGAGUCGUUACAUUUUCAUCUAUUAUGUUAUAGACUUGGGUGGGCAGCUUGCCAAGUUGAAUGUUUAAUUUUUAGACAUUCUCAGAUUACGUUAUUAUUCAGUUCAGUUAGAUGCUAUUAAUCCUUAUAAAUGUGCAUAUAAUCUUCCACUGAGUUAAGUAAGUCAUGUCAAGGGUCCGCUCAAGGCAACCAAUGGUUUCGAGUGCUGGCCACACCUAGGGUAUAGGUUUGGGGCGUGACAAUUUGUGAUGUUAUUCUGUAUUUUAUAAUCACUAUAUAAUAUUUUUUAUGAACUUGAUCAAAAUGAUUAAAUAGUAGCACAACAUGAGGAAAUAUUUUAAUACAUACUCGACAUACAAUUAAAUUAGUACAAGUCGAUCACCAUUACAUUUAUUUAAUUAAGCUGAAUCAAAUAUUAUUUAAACUAGAAAGCUCCUAUCUAAAAUAUUGAAUUACCAUUUUGCCUCUCUAAUAAAUUAAAAUUUUAGUAAUAUCUGAUUAAAUAAUAAUAUUUUAAUUAUAUAAAGAUUGAAUUAUAUAAAUACAUCUUCCUCAUAUAAAUAAUGUAAUUUCCCUACAACAAAAUUGUUGAAGAAAGCUUUAAGACUGAUGAAACAUGUCGAAGGAACAAUAGACUAAUGGAACAUGUCGAACAAUAGACUCAUAAAGGCAAAAUAUUUCUGUUGUUAUAUGUGGAUGAUAUUAUUGUCACAUAAUGUAAUCCGUCUCAUGUCCCACAGUUGGUGCUAUAACUUGGGAAGGAGUUCACUUGAAAGAUCUUGACUCUUUACACGUCUUUCUAAGGUGAAGUAUUUCGAAGGAGGAGUAUUCACUUAAAUCAAAGAAAGUAUGCUGGUGAAUUGUUCGCGAAGAAAGAGAUGAUUUUGGCAAAGGUUGUAUUCACUCCUUUGGCUCAAAACCAUGGUCUGCAUGAAGCUGUAGAAAGUCUUUUAGAUGCCUCUUCAGAAUGAUAGUAGGGAGCCUUCAAUAUUUGACCCCACUUAUGCUGUAAAUUUAGCAACCCAAUUUCGCGAAGCCCAAACAUUAAAUAUAUUCAUGGGGUAAAAAGGAUUCUCAAGUACAUCAAAGAUACUAUACACUUUGGUCUUAGAAUUAUUUCACAAUCACCAUAUAGGUUGUGGCUACUUAGAUUCCGAUUGGGGAUGUUGUACCACUACUAAGAGAUCAACUACAAGCUAUAACAUCUACCUAGGUGUCAAUUGUAUAUUUUGGACCUCCAAGAAACAUACCAUAGUAGCCCGAUCGAGUGUUGAAGCUAAGUAUAGAGCACUAGCCUCCACAGCCGCAGAACUGACUUAGACUUUGUAUCUUCUACAUGACCUUAGAGUGUUUCUUCGAUCUGAUCCUACAUUGUAUUGCGAUAACAUGAGUGCCUUGUACAUGACAGUUACUUUAGUUAUGCAUGCUAGAACCAAACAUGUUGAAACGAACUAUCAUUUUUUUCAUGAGAAAGUGGCCAUGAGACAACUUUAGUCACUUUGUGUAGUCUAAGGAUAAGCUAGUUGACAUUCAUACCAAAGUCUUCACAAAGCAUGUUUACUCUGAUUUUUACAGCAAGCUAGGAUUUACAGAUCGUGCACUCGACUCAAAUUUAUUCGAUCAAAAUAAUAUGCGUACCAGUGUUGAUCAUUCUGUUUGAUUCUAUUUUAAUAUAUAAUUUAAAUUGUGAAUUUCAAAUAUAAUUUUAAAUUUGUAAUUAGAUUGCAUCUAGUUAAAUUUAAUUGACUAUUUAAAAAGAAUUUAAGAAAAACCUCGUUAAGGCUCCCACAAGGCUCAUCAUAGAAUGCAUAUACAUUUGGAUAUUUGUCAUCUUUUCGUGGAUAGUCCAAUUAGAAAUAUAAGUGCAUUUGGAUACAUAAACACAUUAAUAGAUUUGAAUGUAGCAGUGCAUCCAUUUUUAAAACAAUGGAAUACAUAUACUUCUGGAUAAUUAUAUUGCAAUAAAUUCAUUAUCAUUUGUUUUUUUCCUGAAUUGUUCAAUUGUAUUUAUCAUUAACAAAAUUGACUUAAGAAUAUCAUAAUACAAUUAUUCUUGCCAUGGAGUUCGUCUGUUGGAAAUUAAAACAAAUAAAUUCAUUCGCAAUUACAAUAAAUUAAAUUAAAACAAACUUAUGUGAAAUGCCUAAACGUUUGAACAAAAACAAUGGCAACAAUGAAGAAUGGUGUACAAUGUAUUUCAAUUCUUUUAAAAUUGACUAGAAUUCAAAAGUAUAUGCACUGGCCAUAUAAUUAUUAGUUGUUUAUGUAAUGAUGAGAAAUUGAGAAUUUAAGGACAUAAUUAACAAGAUUGUUAUAGUACCAGAAAUUACCUUAUAUAAUGCAGUAUAAUUAAAAUUAUAUAAAAAAAAAGAUACAAAAACAUACACAAAUACAGUCAAAUAUUGAUUAAAAUGUACUCAUUUUUUGUAAAUAGCAUUGAACUUCAAUAAUAUAGUUAUUUAUAUAAAUUGCUCUAAAAUUAAUCUCAAUUUUAUUAAAAGAAAUUAUUAUAUUUAUUCCACGUACCAAAAAGACUCCUCAAUCUUGUAAAGCCCAAAAUAGAAGAGGAGGCCCUUUGAUCGAAAAAACUAGAGGAGGGCAAUUCAAUAAAUGAGCCCACCAGGCAUUCACACCAAGAAACAAUGGUCACUCUAUCCUCAUAGAAGUUAACGAUGAUGAAAACCUUAUAAAUACCGAAUAGUCUACUCUUUACUUAUCUCACUCCGCCGUGAUAGAUCCAAAGCCCUUAAUUUCUCAAUUCCUUCUGGGUUUUGGGUCUAUAGUUGCUUCUUUUUCCUACAAUUUCCCUUUUUGGGAAAAUCAAGGUAUGUUUUUUGUUUGAAUUUCCUUUUUUUCUGGAACAAGUUGGUGUUUUUGUUUAGUGUGUGUUUGCGAUUUUAGGAUUUUGCUGAAGAUUAAUAAAUGUUGGGUUUGUUUUUGUGGAUUUGGCGUAGGUGGGCGAGUGGUGAGUGGUGACUGUUUUGAGUGGAGGUUAUGGCCUGGAAUCGAGGAGAGCAAAGCUCAUCUGGGAUCAAGUUUGACAAGGGGAGUGGAUCUGCUACGUUUUGGGGUUUGAAUUGAGAAAAAGGAGCUUGAUGAAGUUGACUUUAAAUCCGUUCGAUAUGGACAGUAGUAACCAAAAGAUGGGGUUUUCAGCCAUGACAAGUUUGUUAAACGAUUUUGGAUUUAUGGUAGAUGAGAAUUAAUGAGGUUGAGAAACUUGAUUCGCAAGAUGGGAAUUCAUCAGGGUGCGGGUUUCCAAUUGAUUGGUGGAAAUUGUGAGCCGCUGGGGAUGAAUUUCAGAGAGGGGUUGAACGGUGGUCAUGGUCUGAUGGAUGGUGAAUGAUCAUUGUGGUGUGGACGGAGGUAAUCCAUCGCAGGCGUUGUUAGUUGUUGUCCCUUGGUUAUUUGCCCAUUGUGGGGGGGGGACCUAUUUGUAGUUGAAAGAUUAUGCAAGCCUUUAUGCGAUGUUAUUGUAGGAGAUCCACUUUUAUGGAAAAAAAUUAACAUAGUUCAUCCAUUUUGUACUAACAUCACAAAUGAUAUCCUUAUAAAGUUGAAGAAUAGAGCUCAAGCCCAUCUUUAUUCUCUCAGUCUAUUUCACUAAUCAAAGCUCACUGAUGUUGGUUUGAAGCUCAAAGUCAGUUGUUUCUCUUGUGUUACUUGCUUAGUUAUUAGGAAAUGUAUUACCUUAACAAUUAUAAGUAGUAAGAAAUCUAUUAAGCACACAGUUAAUUUAGAAACCCUAACUUAUAAACCACUUUUUCAUAAUAAACCAAUAUGCAAUUUGAAUUUCCAUGUUUAUAUCUCUUCCGCCCACCUCAGUACUUGUUUGGUUAUUCCAGGGCCUUGCCAACAUUUGACAGACAAGAGAAAUGUCCUCUAAUUAAUGCAACACUUGAAGAAAAUAAUGCUUAUAUAUAUGGUAAUAACUAGUCUAUCCAUAACUUGUGUUGGAGUCUUCCGCUGUUCACAGACGAGAAAGACAAGUGAGGGAGAAAGGGACAGUCUCCAUGGCUUCACCAAGUAAGCAUUGCAAACCCCAAAUGAUAAUUCUUUAAAAGUAUUUGUUGUAUGUGUGAUUUCAUUUUGUUAUUUGUUUUAUUUAGUAUUGGAAUGAAACAUACCAGAGAGGAUUUAGUAUUCCUAUGGUCUACCCCAUCUAUUUAGUUGUUUAUUUUACAUUAUUUCGUUAUUGUUAACUUUCCCAUAUGUGUAUCCCUUUUUCAAACUAUAUGGUGUGCUUUAAUUUAUGCAGAGUUUGUUGCAAGAUUUUAGUGGGCAUCGAUGUUGUUGUUGUUAUGGUCUACCCUUACUAUUUGGGAUUGAUGUGUAUAUAGUAGGAGUAGAACUUUUCCAAGAGUUCACAUGAUUAUUUAAAACAUUGUUUUUCCAGCUUAUAUUUUGUAUAUCUACAACCCCUCUCUUUCGCACUUGCACAUCAUGGAAUAAUUUCAUUAAUGUUUGGACUAAGGUUGCGGCCAUGACCCUCUAAACGCGAUAUGGAUAGAAAUCAGCCCAAAAGUUUGAGAGAUUUUUGUGGAAUUGAAUGAACCAACCUGCCUUUUGUAGGCUAGCUCUUUUUGUGUAUUAUAGUUAAAUGAACUUGUCUCCAAAAUUUCUCCAUUAUCACAUAACUGAUUUAUCAAAAAAAUUCUUUCACUUUCAUCUUCCAUCUCGGCUAUGUUUGAUUCAAUGUUUCCUUCUUUUUUUAAGUUGGAUUGAUGUCCAUGAGCUAAAGAUCUUUCAUAAACUACCUCUUUAUCUCCACAAAGUAGUGGUAAGAUUUGCACUAUGUACAUUCUUCGUACUCUACUAAGUGCGAUUUCACUAGGUAUAUUGUUGUUGAUGAUGAUAAUAAUAUUUUUCACUAGGGAAUAUAUGGAAAAGCUCCUUCUAUUGUUGAUAGUUUUAGAUGAAUAAAUAUUAAGGUGGAAAGCUCCCAUCUUAAAAAUUGAAUUACCAUUUUGCCUAUCUACGAAAUUAAGAAUAUAAUUAAAUAAUAAUAUUUUAAUUAUCUAAAGAUUGAAUUAUAUAAAAUUAUAAAUGCAUCUUUUUCAUAUUAAAAAAUAAAAUUGAACUAGAUUUAGAAUGAAUUGUAAUACAAAAAUAGAAAGGAGAAACGCUUUCUCUCCUAAGGAAGUUCUCAAACAAACUAAAAAUUCAAAGUUCCUCUUUAUCCUAUCAAGAUGGUGAUUUUCUAAUCGAACAAGAAUGAACUGUAGUCGGUUCUAAAAGAAGUAACUAUAAAAACAAACAACUUAACACAAAGAUAAAUUGGUUGAAAAAUACAUAAUGAGUAUCAAUUAGUAAGAUUACAUAAAUCAAUAUGUUCAUAUGUGAUUUUACCAUUUCCUGUAUUGCUACCAUAGAUCUUUUCUUUUAUGAACUUCAUCGAAAUGAUAAGUAUUAGUACAACAUGAGUAAAUAUUUUGCCACACACUCACAUGCAAUUAAAUUAGUAUAAAGCACCGUUAUGUUUCUCUUAACUAAGUUGGAUUCAUAUAUGAUAUAACUUACUUAAGAGAAAAAUAAUGUAUAAUUACACUAAUUUAAUUGCAUGUCAAGUGUGUGCAAAAUAAUUCUUUAUGAUGUAUCACUACGCUAUCAUUUUGAUCAAGCUCAUGAAAAAACAUGUUAUAUGCUAACAAUACAACAACGAAAUAGUAAAAAAUCAUACAUGAAUAUGUUAAAAUAUAUAGUAUUAUUAUUUGAUGUAAUAAUUUGAUAUUCAUUAUUUAUUCGCCAACAAAUUUAUAUUUGCGUUAAGUCAAUUUUUUUGUUACUUCUUUAGACCCGACUAUGAUUCAUUCUUGUUCAAUCAUAAAAUCACUGUCUUGCUAAUAGGAAGAUCUUAUGGGAAAAUCUUAGGAACAUUAAAACAUCUUAUAAAGGUAUGUGGCUCAUCAGAGGUGAUUGUAAUGAGCUAACUUUUUUUUUUAAUAAAAAGAAAAGGAUCUCAAUGAGAAAAGUACAAUCAAGGGGGGUUAGGCUUCCUUACUAAUCUUAAUGAGGUAAAGGACUUCUACUAAUUAACAUGCAUGAACAAAUUACGAGCUAGAGAAAACUAGAUAUUGCAUUAUCAUCAUAGAGUUCAUAAUAAUUUUAUGAUGAUACUACAAAAGAGAAUGCUUAAGUAAUUCAAAAAUACAAAAUCUAAGAAUAAAGUUGAGUUAUCACAGAAAUUCUGGAAAGAAAAAACGUUGGUAACCCUUUCUGAGUAAUUACAAAAAAUUGUAUUCUAUUGGCUUAUUUGAGAUAUUGUCACAACCCAAACCGAUUGCGACUGGCACCCACACUUACCCUCCUAUGUGAGCGAACCAACCAAUCUAACCUUAACAUUUCAAUAUAAUAUCAACAGAAAGUAAUGCGGAAGACUUAAACUCAUUAAAUAAAGACCAAUUCAUUAACUUCUAAAAUUCAACAUCUAUUAUUCCCCAAAAUCUGGAAGUAAACAUCACAAGAACAUCUACGAUUAAAUGACUAAACUAAGAGUAUUCUAAAAGCUAAAAAUACAUAAGAAGCUAGUCCAUGCCGGAAGUUCAAGGCAUCAAGACUUGAAGAAGAAGAUCCAGUCCAAGCUAGAAGCAUUAGCUCACCCUGAAUUUCCGAUGUAGUAAGACUGGCUUGAAUUACUAUUGAGUUGAAGAUGAUGGCACGUUUGCUGCACUCCACAAAUAAACAAGAAGAAAACAUAAAAGUAGGGGUCAGUACAAAACAUGGGUACUGAGUAGAUAUCAUCGGCCAACUCAAAAUAGAAAUCAAUAUAUACCAAGUAAUAUCAUAAAAUCAACUAUGAUACUGAACAUGUAGCAACAACAAAUACUAUAUCAUUAACAAUUACCGUCAAGUUCACACAUGAAGACUCAAGCCUCAAUACCAUACUCAUUUGGGAAUCAUGUUCAUUAGAUUGAGUAUAUUAACAUCUUUCAAGAUUCAUUAUCUUUAUUUCUCUUGUGUCGGUACGUGACACUCUGCUCCCUCAAUAUUCAUUAAUCCUCUUGUGUCGGUACGUGACAUUCCGAUCUCCUAAAUCUACGUGUCGGUUCGUGACACCCGAUCCACUAAUACUACGUGUCGGUUCGUGACACCCGAUCCCCUAAUACUACGUGUCGGUUCGUGACACCCGAUCCCCUAAUACUACGUGUCGGUUCGUGACACCCGAUCCCCUAAUUCUACGUGUCGGUUCGUGAUACCCGAUCCCCUAAUUCUACGUGUCGGUUCGUGACACCCGAUCCCCUAAUACUACGUGUCAGUUCGUGACACCCGAUCCCCUAAUCUCCUUCCAUCAAUUCAUCAAGCCUUCUUUCUUACCAAGGCAUCAUCAAUCCCAUUAUUUUAGUUCAUCACGCCUUCUUUUAUACCAAGGCCUCAUUAUUAACAAAGAGAUUAGGAUUUUGCAAGAUUUGGGAUUCAAUAACUUCAUCAUGCUUAUAUAAUCACAAUUAUAUAAUUACAUUCAUGCAAGCAUACAAUUAAGCACAUAGCAGGGUUUACAAUAUUAUUAAUACAUAUCAUUCUCUAUUAAGAGUUUACUACGAAUAUUGUAAGAGAAACCAUAACCUACCUCCACCGAAGACUAGUGAUCAAGCAAGCAAAUUCCCAAAGCUUUGUGUUUUCCUCUUCGUUUCUCCUCUCUCGAUCAAUCCUCUCUCUCUCUCUUUGUUCUUUCUAUUUUUCUUUAUUCAAACCCUCUUUCUUUUACCCUAAUUAGUAUAUAAUUAAGAAUAAAAGAUAGCAAUAAUGACCCACUAAUUAACUUAAGGUUACCUCUUUUAACCCCCAAGUAAUUAGACUUAUUAACAUUAACCCACUAACUUUAUAAUUAAAGCAGGAAUAGUCAAAAACGUCCCUUAAAACGUAUCAAGAAAUCCGACACAGACUGGGAUUACGCAGUCUAUGACGGCCCGUCGCGCCUGCGACGGUCCGUCCUGCUGCCCCGUCACAGAGUUCAGAGACUCAAUUUCUCUGAAGAGUCUGUGACGGUCCGUCACACCUGUGACGGUCCGUCACACCUGUGACGGUCCGUCCUGCCAUUCCGUUACGAAGUUCAGAGAGUCAAUUUUCAGUACCUAAUUUCUGAUUUUCUAAGUGUUUUGAAACGAGACCCUACGAUGGUCCGUCGUGCCCAUGACGGUCCGUCGUGCCCAUGACGGUCCGUCGUGGGGUCCGUCGUUUCUGCCAGUUUUUCCAGAAUUGAAGUGUGCUGCUCAAAAUGACUAAACAGGUUGUUACAAUAGAUACCAAUUUACCCAUCGUUCAUCCCCGAACGAUCACAAGAAGGAAAACAAGGACGAAAAGGAGUACCUGAAUCUGUAAACAGGUGUGGGUAUCUUUCUCGCAUAUCAGCCUCUUUCUCCCAAUACCUUAUCUUGGAUUCUUCUUAGUUUCUCAUCAUCAAACUGUUUUCCCUUAAUCUUGUCAAGAAAGGAAGAUCUUGCCUCCACACAAGCGAACAAUCCUCCCUUCUCAUUUACUUCUAAUCUCAUCAAGUCGUUAGCUAGAGUCUGAACCUCUCUAGCUAAUGGGCGUCUAGAGGCUUGCAAGUGAGCUAGACUUCCCAUGCUUCCCGCCUUUCUACUUAAAGCAUCCGCUACAACAUUCGUCUUCCCCGGAUGAUACAAAAUGGUGAUGUCGUAGUCUUUCAGUAGUUCCAUCCAUCUUCUUUGUCUCAAGUUCAAAUCUUUCUGAGUAAAGACAUACUGUAGGCUACGAUGAUCCGUAUAGACCUCACACUUAACCCCAUAUAAAUAGUGUCUCCAUUGCUUUAAUGCAAACACUACCGCAGCCAAUUCCAAAUCAUGAGUUGGAUAGUUACGUUCAUGCACUUUUAAUUGCCUUGAAGCAUAAGCAAUCACAUUCUUCUCUUGCAUUAGCACUGCACCCAAACCAGAAUAGGAUGCAUCACAAUAAAUAAUGAAAUUCUUACCCUCCACUGGCAAGGUGAUAAUUGGUGCGGUAGUCAACAAAGUCUUGAGCUUCAGAAAGCUUUCCUCACACUCAUCCGACCAUACAAAUGGAACAUUUUGCUUAGUCAAGUUCGUCAGUUGGGAAGCAAUAGAAGAGAAUCCCUUGAUAAAUCGGCGGUAGUAGCUAGCUAACCCAUAAAAGCUCCUUAUUUCUGACACAUUAGUAGGUCUUACCCAAUUCUUCACUGUCUCAAUCUUAGAAGGAUCCACCAUCACUCCAUCCUUGGAAACCACGUGCCCCAAGAAGGACACUGCAUCUAGCCAGAACUCACACUUAGACAACUUGGCAUAAAGAUUUUUCUCCCUCAACAUUUCCAAUACCAUUCUCAAAUGCUCCUCAUGUUCUUUCUUGCUCUUUGAGUAUAUCAGUAUAUCAUCAAUAAAUACGAUAACGAAGAGGUCCAAAUAUGGCUUAAAAAUCCCGUUCAUCAAGCUCAUAAACGCAGCAGGGGCAUUCGUAAGACCAAAAGACAUCACUACAAAUUCGUAAUGCCCAUACCUCAUUCGAAAAGCAGUCUUUGGCACAUCCGUUGCCCGCAUUUUCAAUUGAUGAUAACCAGAUCUCAAGUCAAUCUUAGAGAAGACACAAGCACCUUGUAACUGAUCGAACAAGUCAUCAAUGCGAGGAAGAGGAUACUUGUUCUUUAUGCUUACCUUGUUUAGUUGUCUGUAGUCUAUACACAUUCGAAAACUCCCAUCCUUCUUCUUCACAAACAAAACCGGAGCACCCCAAGGAGAUGCACUUGGUCUAAUAAAGCCUUUGUUUAACAACUCUUGAAGUUGGGCUUUUAACUCUCUUAACUCCGCGGGAGCCAUUCUAUAAGGGGGUAUAGAAAUGGGGCGAGUACCCGGUUCAAGGUCAAUACAGAAAUCAAUAUCCCUAUCUGGUGGCAUACCAGGAAGAUCUGCAGGGAACACAUCCAGAAACUCACGGACCACCGAAACUGACUCAAUCGAAGGUACUUGGGUAGUGUCAUCCUUGAUAUGUGCCAAGAAAGCUAAACACCCUUUACUAACCAUUUUCUUAGCACGAAGAAAGGAGAUGAUACGCACCGGAUUGGAAGUGUAGUCACCCUACCAAACUAACGGAUCUGUCCCAGGCUUGGCUUACAGUCACCGUUUUAGCAUUACAAUCCAAGAUCGCAAAUUGCGAAGAAAGCCAAGUCAUACCCAGAAUUACAUCAAAAUCAUCCAUUUCUAAGAUAACCAAAUCUACAUAAGUGUUGCUCCCCACAAAGUUCACCAAACAAGACCUAUAUACCUUUUCAACUACCACAGACUCACCCACCGGAGUAGAAACACGAAUAGGCAUAUCAAGUAAUUCACAAUGUAAAUUUAGACCAUUAGCAAAUGAGGAAGAUGCAUAAGAAAAUGUGGAUCCAGGAUCAAACAAUACAGAAGCCAUGCAAUCACAAACCAGAAGAUUACCUGUGAUGACAGCAUCAGUUUGAUAUGUCUGAUCUUGGCUUGAUGCAUUACCUUUUGUAGUUGAAAGAAUAUGCAGCCUUUAUGGGAUGUUGUUGUUGGAGAUCCACUUUUAUGGAGAAAAAUUAUCAUAGUUCAUCCAUUUUGUACUAACAUCACAAAUGAUAUCCUUAUAAACUUGACGAAUACAGCUCAAGUCCAUCUUUAUUCUUUCAAUCUAUUUCACUGCUCAAAGCUCACUGAUGUUGGUUUGAAGCUCAAAGGUCAGUUGUUUCUCUUGUGUUUUUUGCUUAGUUAUUAGGAACUGUAUUACCUCAACAAUUAUAAAUAGUAAGAAAUCUAUUAAGCACACAGUUAAUUUAGAAACCCUAACUUGUAAACCACACUUUUUCAUACUAAACCUAUAUGCAAUUUGAACUUCCAUGUUGAGGUCUCUUCAGCCCACCUCAGUACUUGUUAGGUUAUUCCAGGGCCUUGUCAAAAUUUGACAGACAAGAGAAAUGUCCUCUAAUUAAUGCAACACUUGAAGAAAAUAAUGCUUAUAUAUAGUAAUAACUAAGCUCUCUAUAACUUGUGUAGGAGUCUUUCAUUGUUCACAGACGAGAAAGACAAGUGAGGGAGAAAUGGACAGUCUCCAUGGCUUCACCAAGUAAGCAUCGCAAACCCCAAAUGAUAAUUCUUGAAAAAUAUCUAUUGUGUGUGUGAUUUCAUUUUGUUAUUUGUUGUAUUUAGUAUUGGAAUGAAACAUAUCAGAGAGGAUUUAGUAUUCCUAUGGUCUACCCCAUCUAUUUAGUUGUUUAUUUCACAUUAUUUCGUUGUUGUUUAUUUUCCCAUAUGUGUAUCCCUUUUUCAAACUAUUUGGCGUGCUUUAAUUUAUGCGGAGUUUUUUAUCCACAAGUUAAGGGUAAGAUAUGUUUAUACUCUAUCCUCUAUAAAUCCAACUUGGCGAGAAUUUACUGGGUAUCAUUGUUGUUGUUGUUGUUAUGGUCUACCCAAACUAUUUGGGAUUAAUGUGUAUAUAGUACGAGUAGAACUUUUCCAAGAGUUCCACUUGAUUAUUAAAAACUUUGUUUUUUCCAGCUUAUAUUUUGUAUAUCUACAACCCCUCUCUUUCGCACUUCCACAUCAUGGAACAAUUUCAUGAAUGUUUGGACUAAGGUUGCAGCCAUGGCCCUCUAAACGCAAAAUGGAUAGAAAUCAACCCAAAAGUUGAAGAGAUUUUUGUGGGAUUGAAUUAACCAACCUGCCUUUUGUAGGCUAGCUCUUUUUGUGUCUCCAAAAUUUCUCCGUUAUGACAUAACUGAUUUAUCUAAAUUUUUCUUUCACUUUCAUCUUCCAUAUCUUCCAUCUCGGCUAUGUUUGAUUUUGUGUUUCCUUAUUUUUGUAAGUUGGAUUUCACUAGACAUAUUGUUAUUGAUGAUGAUAAUAUUUUUCACUAAGGAAAAUAUGGAAGAGCUCCUUCUAGUGUUGAUAGUUUUAGAUGAAUAAAUAUCAAGGUGGAAAGCUCCCAUCUUAAAAAUUGAAUUACGAUUUUGCCUCUCUACUAAAUUAAGAAUUUAAUUAAAUAAUAAUAUUUUUUAAUUAUCUAAGAUUGAAUUAUAUUAUAAAAUUAUAAAUGCCUCUUUCUCAUAUUAAAAAAUGAAAAUUGACCUAGAUUUAGAUUGAAUUGUAAUCCAAAAAUAAUAGCAGAAAUACCUACUAGAUUAGGAACGCUUUCUCUCCUAAGGAAGUUUUCAAACAAACUAAAAAUUCAAAGUUUCUCUUUCUCAUAUCAAGAUGGUGAUUUUCUAAUCGAACAAAAAUAAACCGUAGUCGGUUCUAAAAGAAGUAACUAUAUAACAAACCAACUUAACACAAAUAUAAAUUGGUUGAAAAUAAAUAUAUGAUUAUCAAAUAGUAGGAAGAUAUAAACAAUAUGUUCAUAUGUGAUUUACCAUUUCCUUGUAUUGCUAGCAUAGACCUUUCUUUUAUGAACUUCAUCGAAGUGAUAGAGUAUUGACACAACAUGAGGAAAUUUUUUCCAUACACUCGACAUGCAAUUAAAUUAGUACAAAUCACCGUUAUGUUUCUCUUAAAUAAGUUGAAUUAAUAUAUGAUUUUAACUUAUUUAAGUUAAAAAUAUAUAUACUUAUACUAAUUUAGUUGCAUGUCAAGUGAGUGAUAAAAAUAUUUCUUUAUGAUUUACCCUAGUCCACUACUCUAUCAUUUUGAUCAAGUUCAUGGAAGAAAAUGUUAUAUGAUAACAAUACUACGAAAUGCUAAAAAAUAAUGCAUGAAUAUGUUAGCUUAUAUAGUAUUAUUAUUUGAUAUUCGUUAUUUAUUCGUCGAUAAAUUUAUAUUCGCGUUAAGUCAAGUUUUUUUUGUUAACUCUUUAUGAUCGACUAUGUUCGAUCAGAAAAUCACAAUCUUAAUAAGAAUUUGUAAUUUUUAGUUUGUUCAAAAUUACGAUGGGAAAACAUUUCAAUCUAGGGUGUUUCUCCCUUCUAUUUUUUUAGAUGGUGACUCAUUCUAGAUCCACAAAUCAACAUUUUUAAUAUGUGGAAGAUGGACGUUGAAUUAUAUUUUAAGUAAACUAAUCCUUACAGAGCAGCGAUCUAUUUAGACUGAAGUCAAAUUAUAUGUAGGAGUUGUUCACCGUAUUAUAGUUAUGACACCAAUAUACUACCAAAUUUAGCAACUAGAUAGGAGCAAUGAACUCUCUUUGCUUAUAAUACAUGCCAAUAACCAUCAAAAAAAAAGAGAGAGAACAACCUAGAUAGGAGCAAUGAACUCUUUGCUUAUAAGACUUGCCAAUCACCAUCCAAAAAUAUAAGAGAGAAACAACCUAGAUAGGAGCGUUAUUCCUUGUAAGAAUGUUUUUAAACAAAUUAAAAUUUCAAAGUUCUUCUUAUCAGUUGGUGAUUUAUGAUCUAACAAGAAUGAAUCAUAGUCUGUCCUAAAAGAUUUAACAAAAAAAAACCCGACUUAACACAUAUAAAGUGAUUGGAAAAUAAAUAUAAUAAUGAAUAUCAAACUAUUAUAUAAAAUAGUAAUAAAUAUAAAUAUUAAUAUGUUCAUGUGUGAUUUUACCAUUUUCUUGUAUUGCUAGCAUAUAAGCUUUUCUUUUAUGAACUUGAUUCAAAAUGAUAGUAGUAGUUACACACAUGAAGAAAUAUUUCGCAACACACAUGCAAUUAAAUUAGUAUAAAUUAUCAUUAUGUUUCUCUUAACUAAGGUGAAUUAAUGUAUGAUUCAGCUUGAUUAAGAAAAAUAUAAUGGUAGUGUAUACUAAUUUAAUUGUAUUUAGUGCGUGAUUAACAUUCAUUUUAUUAAGUCCAUUUGUUUCUUUUUUUUUAAAAAAAAAAACUCUUACUGAUCUUAAUGAGUCUGAAUGAUCGACUCUAUUCAAAUAUUAAGUGUUUCUUUUCUUAAACAAAUUCUCUUCUUCGUUGCUUCUCUUCUGGACAAGUUUCAAGUUUCUUCCUCUUCUUUUAAAACCAAGUAUCAUUUUUUUUCUUUGAAUAAGUUUUCAUAAUCUUUUACAAGUAUUUAUUUAAUAUUUCUAAUAUAUAAAUAUCCUUGGGUGAAUUGAUAUUUAUGAAGAAACUGUUCUUGUCACAAUUUGUUUGUUGUCAAAACUUCUUCAGAAGAAGUUAUCAUUGUUUCUUGAGAAAACAUUAUUUGAAAAAACAAAUAACUCAUCUUUUUUCUGGGUUGAGUGAUAAUCUUAUUCUUGAAACAAUUGUUUGGAAAAAGUAUUUUUUGUUUGGAUCAUAACUAUUAUUGACAUAGUGUUUAAUUUCAAAUUAAAAAUUAAAAACAAACACAUCUUAAUGAUUUAGUGUUCAGACCUAAAAACUACAUUUCAAUAUCCAGACAAAUAUUCGACAUUUUAAUCUUAAUACUAAUCUUAAUAUUCAGAUGCCGCAUUUAGAUUCAGGCCUCUUAAUUUUAACGAAAACAAAUAAGGCCUAAAUCUGCUUAAGAACCGGACCAUAUUAGGUGUAUAGUACGCAAUCUUACCUAAUAUUUCUGUCAUCCAAAAAUAUUCAUUUGUUCAGGUAAUACUCCGCAGCAUUAGGAAUUAUGUUAUGCUAAUAAUAUUGAAGCAGGACAACAUUUUCUGUCACUAAACAGUAAAAUCCAUUCUUAUAUAUACAAAUUGUGAGGAUUGGAAGCAAACAUUAGGUUGAAAGUGAAAAAUAAAUUGUUAAUACACAAGUUGUACUACUUAUAUACAUUUUUUAAUUAAUAAAGAAAAAAAAAGCAAGCCAAUACCCCUCAUUUUUUUGUGAAAUUAUACUAGCUAUUAGAAUAACGACAAACUAUCAUGAGUCUGAAUAGAACAGAACGGAUACAUAAUAUUCGAGUAACAAUAUCUAAUUAGCUUAAAAGUUGAAGCAUAUAUAUAAUCGAGUUGAUUUAACCCGUUAAGAAUGCACAAAAUCUCUUUCAUUCCACAGCAACAUCAGCUAUAUGAAACCAAUUUCUUUGGAGGAGCUCUACAAUCUCUUCAUCUCUGGAUAUUGUAACAUGUUAUAGUAAGUAUCAUAAAUAAAUUAAUAUUAUAUAAUUGUAUUAAUUAAUAAUGUAUAUAUGUUCUAAGUAUUACAAUAAUAAUGUUACAUAUAUAUACCUUGAUUUAGAAGGAGACUUUGGGGUUGUGGUGACAAAAACGAGGGCUUCAUCAUAUCCUUCACAUGUGAUUUCUCCAUAUUCAUCUCUAUAACAAACUACACCCGUUGACUUAUCUUCAAAUACCUAUAUAUAUUCAUAUAAAUAAUAAAUAUAUUACGAAAAAUCAGUAAAGUUUGUACAUGAAUUGAUUGAUAUUUUUUAAAAAAAAAUAGUAGUACGAAUAAGAAGUGAAAUUGAUUACAUAUAUAUUAAUGUAAAAAAAUAGAUGUUGACGUCUAACUGAAUUCAAAUUUAGCUCAUGAACGAAGGAUAUUGCUUAAAUCCUUAUAAAAAAACCUUUCAUUUCUUUUUCACGUUCAAAAUUGGACAUCUGAUGUAUGAAUAAUUUAAUAUGAAGGUCCAACAUAAAUUUCAAAUUAUUGGAAUGACUCCUACUCUAAUACAUGUCUAGAUAGACUCUAGGCCUUAUAUAAUUUUAUAUAAUAUUAAAGCAGACAAAGGUCUUGGAGAUCGAAUCCACCAUCACCUUUAGUAUAAAGAAUGAAAUACCUUAAACCCAUUUUUCGAAGUUAAUUUGAUCUGACCGGAGUUGUUGACGAUAACGAUGAUGAUGAUGAUGAUGCAAACACUACUCGUCUAUGGACAGGCAAUCUUACUGUCCUUGUGAGUGAAAGAUGAUUUGGUAACUAGAAAAGAUGUUGAAAGAGAGUUUACCACAGCCAUUGAAGUUAAUGGAGAGAAGAAAAAUAAGAAGAAAAGAGUGGAGAAUGCUAAGGAAUGUUAGUUUAUGGUAUGAAGUAUAGUUGUUGAGGGACUUUAUAUUAUAUAGUUUUUUCUGUAACUUAAUCUUGCUAGUACUGUUUGGGGAAGACUUAGUACACAUUACUACUUUUAAUUUGUAGUACCAAACAAAAAGAGUUUGGAUUUUAUUUGCUUAUAUAUAUAUUAUAGUAUAUCUAACUGCUUGGUGCUAGAGUUUUUUUAAUUUGUUUUGGUAAGUUAAAAUAGAUGAUGAAUAAUAGUUUCUUUGUUAUAAUUUAUUUGUUUUGUGUUGAUUUGAACUAAAUCGUUUAAAAAAAUAAAAAGAAAUUUUGAAUCUUGUGAUCUUAAAUCAAAGAUAUGUUGUUAUAUGUACCAAAAUGUGCUUUAAUCGAAUGGUUUUUAACAUCUCAAGUGGAAAAAAUUAUAGAUAAAAGAGUUAUCACAAAAAAAACUUUUUUUUUAAUUGAAAUGGACUAAGAAGAAAAGUAGGACAAAUAAAUUGAAAUGAAGAGAGCAAUACUUGUUUCGAUGGUUGUUAUCUAUUGUAUUACAUUGCUUUUAGAUACUAUAUUUGUUUUUAUUAUUACAUUUUGAAUUUGUUUAUAUCAUAUUGUUAAAUUCAUUAGGUUAUAAGACGAUUAAAAUUCUCAUUUUAUGUAAUGACUGAAUUUGAUAUGAUUGUGUUGUUAUAUUUUCUUCUUUUUUUGAUAAUAUUAUAAUUUAUUUUUAAAUUAUUAUAUGUAUUAUAAUAUAUAUAGCAACAAAAAAUAAUAUAGUCUAUCCAAAUAUAUUUAAAAACAAUACAACAUAAUACGGUAUAAAAUAAGUUUCAACCAUCCAUAGUGAAACCAACAAGUUAAUAAAUUAUAUAUUCCUCAAGAAACAUAGUGAGUUUCAAGUCGAAAUUGAGGUUAUAUAGUGCUUUGACUAUCAACAUAAAAUAGAUCAAUUAUAUUUUAGUAAUAAUAAUUAUCAAAAGGAAUAUACAUAUAAAAAUUAUAAUUAUUAUUGGAAAUAAUUAUUGGAUCAAGUCCAUGGUCUAAUUUUAUUCCAUUAGUUAUUUAGUUUGUCCUCUUUUUUAAUGAUAAUCACAUUUUUUAAUAAAGAUUCCACUGAUGAGCAUAGUAAAAUAUAGUUUCUUUCAUAUUAGAUGAUGAUUACGAUUAAUAAAACGUUAUAUAUCUCUAAAGGAUAUCUAAAUUGUGGACAAUGAUGUUCAUCCACAUUGUGAGAAUAUUUGACAAUUAAUAACAAGCAAGUCAUGAUUACUGCAGAGUCACUUCUGCUUUAAGAAAUUCAUAAAUCUUUUGAACUAAUAUUUACGAUUCAUGUACUACAACUAUUAUAUAUAUAAUGGUCAUCUUUGUUGUUGUUGUUGUUAUGGUCUAGCCUUACUAUUGGGAUUAAUGUGUAUAUAGUAGGAUAUAACUUUUCCAAGAGUUCCACUUGAUUAUUAAAACUUUGCUUUUCCAGCUAUAUAUUGUGUAUCUACAACCCCUCUCUUUAGCACUUCCACAUCAUGAAAUAAUUUCAUUUAAUGUUUGGACUAAGGUUGAGGCCAUGAUCCUCUAAACGCGAUAUGGAUAGAAAUCAUCCCAAAAGUUUGAGAGAUUUUUGUGGGAUUGAAUGAACCAACCUGCCUUUUGUAGGCUAGCUCUUUUUGUGUGUUAAUAGUUAAAUGAACUUGUCUCCAAGUUUCUCUGUUUUACACAUAACUGAUUUAUCUAAAUUUUUCUCACUUUCAUCUUCCAUCUCGGCUAUGUUUGAUUCACUGUUUCCUUCUCUUUUUAAGUUGGAUUGAUGUCAUUGAGUUGAAGAUCUUUCAUAACAGCCUCUUUAUCUCCACAAAGUAGUGGUAAGAUUUGCACUCUGUACAUUCUACAUACUCUACUAAGUGAGAUUUUCACUAGGUAAUAUUGUUGUUGAUGAUGAUAAUAUUUUUCACUAGGGAAAAUAUUGAAAAGCUCCUUCUUCUGUUGAUAGUUUUAGAUGAAUAAAUAUUAAGGUGGAAAGCUUCCAUCUAAAAACUGAAUUACCAUUUUACCGCUCUACUAAUUAAGAAUUUAAUUAAUAAUAAUAUUUUAAUUAUCUAACGAUUGAAUUAUAAAAGAUUAAUAAUCUCUUUUAUAUUAAAAAAUAAAAUUGACCUAGAUUUAAAUGAAUUGUAAUCCAAAAAUAGAAAGUAGGAACGCUUUCUCUCCUAAGGAAGUUCUCAAACAAACUACAAAAUUCAAAGUUCCUUUUCUCCUAUCAAGAUGGUGAUCUAAUCGAACAAGAAUCGAACUGUAGUUGGUUCUAAAAGAAGUACUAUAAAAAAAAUUAUACACAGAUAAAUUGGUUUAAAAUACAUAAUGAAUAUCAANNNNNNNNNNNNNNNNNNNNNNNNNNNNNNNNNNNNNNNNNNNNNNNNNNNNNNNNNNNNNNNNNNNNNNNNNNNNNNNNNNNNNNNNNNNNNNNNNNNNAAGUUAUUGUUUCUUAUAAACAAAAAUUUAUUGUGUUAUUUUGACAUGCAUCUCAUAGUCAAUUGUAUCUAUGCAUAUACACAGAGUUUCCAAUAUAUUUUUAAACAUCUUUUCUUUGUAUUGCACUUGUGUUUAAAUUUUUUUAUAUUAAAAUUAGUAGUUAUCUUGAGGUUGAGCCAGGUAAGUUCUUCAGUUUUUUUAGACUCUUUCUAGACUAUGUUGUUUAGCAUUCCAACUCGCAUACUCGUACAUGCAAUGUACUGAUACCAGAUGACAUGCAUCGUGUUAUAAUGCAUACAAAGGUAAUGAGGAUCGGCAUCCAGCGCACCAUUUAUCCAGUAUAGCACUCCAGAGUCAGUUGGUGAGCCUCCUUGCAUUUAAAGGACUCCUUUUUUUAUAUAUAUAUUAGUUGUUAGGAUGUUGUGGGUUCUGACCAAACAUCCAUCUCAGAUGUUUAGAAACAUCAUAGAUAGUCAAAUGUUAGUCCUUUGAGUCGUUACAUUUUCAUCUAUUAUGUUAUAGACUUGGGUGGGCAGCUUGCCAAGUUGAAUGUUUAAUUUUUAGACAUUCUCAGAUUACGUUAUUAUUCAGUUCAGUUAGAUGCUAUUAAUCCUUAUAAAUGUGCAUAUAAUCUUCCACUGAGUUAAGUAAGUCAUGUCAAGGGUCCGCUCAAGGCAACCAAUGGUUCGAGUGCUGGCCACACCCAGGGUAUAGGUUUGGGCGUGACAAUUUGUGAUGUUAUUCUGUAUUUUAUAAUCACUAUAUAAUAUUUUUAUGAACUUGAUCAAAAUGAUUAAAUAGUAGCACAACAUGAGGAAAUAUUUUAAUACAUACUCGACAUACAAUUAAAUUAGUACAAGUCGAUCACCAUUACAUUUAUUUAAUUAAGCUGAAUCAAAUAUUAUUUAAACUAGAAAGCUCCUAUCUAAAAUAUUGAAUUACUAUUUUGCCUCUCUAAUAAAUUAAAAUUUUAGUAAUAUCUGAUUAAAUAAUAAUAUUUUAAUUAUAUAAAGAUUGAAUUAUAUAAAUACAUCUUCCUCAUAUAAAUAAUGUAAUUUCCCUACAACAAAAUUGUUGAAGAAAGCUUUAAGACUGAUGAAACAUGUCGAAGGAACAAUAGACUAAUGGAACAUGUCGAACAAUAGACUCAUAAAGGCAAAAUAUUUCUGUUGUUAUAUGUGGAUGAUAAUAUUGUCACAUAAUGUAAUCCGUCUCAUGUCCCACAGUUGGUGCUAUAACUUGGGAAGGAGUUCACUUGAAAGAUCUUGACUCUUUACACGUCUUUCUAAGGUGAAGUAUUUCGAAGGAGGAGUAUUCACUUAAAUCAAAGAAAGUAUGCUGGUGAAUUGUUCGCGAAGAAAGAGAUGAUUUUGGCAAAGGUUGUAUUCACUCCUUUGGCUCAAAACCAUGGUCUGCAUGAAGCUGUAGAAAGUCUUUUAGAUGCCUCUUCAGAAUGAUAGUAGGGAGCCUUCAAUAUUUGACCCCACUUAUGCUGUAAAUUUAGCAACCCAAUUUCGCGAAGCCCAAACAUUAAAUAUAUUCGUGGGGUAAAAAGGAUUCUCAAGUACAUCAAAGAUACUAUACACUUUGGUCUUAGAAUUAUUUCACAAUCACCAUAUAGGUUGUGGCUACUUAGAUUCCGAUUGGGGAUGUUGUACCACUACUAAGAGAUCAACUACAAGCUAUAACAUCUACCUAGGUGUCAAUUGUAUAUUUUGGACCUCCAAGAAACAUACCAUAGUAGCCCGAUCGAGUGUUGAAGCUAAGUAUAGAGCACUAGCCUCCACAGCCGCAGAACUGACUUAGACUUUGUAUCUUCUACAUGACCUUAGAGUGUUUCUUCGAUCUGAUCCUACAUUGUAUUGCGAUAACAUGAGUGCCUUGUACAUGACAGUUACUUUAGUUAUGCAUGCUAGAACCAAACAUGUUGAAACAAACUAUCAUUUUUUCAUGAGAAAGUGGCCAUGAGACAACUUUAGUCACUUUGUGUAGUCUAAGGAUAAGCUAGUUGACAUUCAUACCAAAGUCUUCACAAAGCAUGUUUACUCUGAUUUUUACAGCAAGCUAGGAUUUACAGAUCUUGCACUCGACUCAAAUUUAUUCGAUCAAAAUAAUAUGCGUACCAGUGUUGAUCAUUCUGUUUGAUUCUAUUUUAAUAUAUAAUUUAAAUUGUGAAUUUCAAAUAUAAUUUUAAAUUUGUAAUUAGAUUGCAUCUAGUUAAAUUUAAUUGACUAUUUAAAAAGAAUUUAAGAAAAACCUCGUUAAGGCUCCCACAAGGCUCAUCAUAGAAUGCAUAUACAUUUGGAUAUUUGUCAUGUUUUCGUGGAUAGUCCAAUUAGAAAUAUAAGUGCAUUUGGAUACAUAAACACAUUAAUAGAUUUGAAUGUAGCAGUGCAUCCAUUUUUAAAACAAUGGAAUACAUAUACUUCUGGAUAAUUAUAUUGCAAUAAAUUCAUUAUCAUUUGUUUUUUUCCUGAAUUGUUCAAUUGUAUUUAUCAUUAACAAAAUUGACUUAAGAAUAUCAUAAUACAAUUAUUCUUGCCAUGGAAUUCGUCUGUUGGAAAUUAAAACAAAUAAAUUCAUUCGCAAUUACAAUAAAUUAAAUUAAAACAAACUUAUGUGAAAUGCCUAAACGUUUGAACAAAAACAAUGGCAACAAUAAAGAAUGGUGUACAAUGUAUUUCAAUUCUUUUAAAAUUGACUAGAAUUCAAAAGUAUAUGCACUGGCCAUAUAAUUAUUAGUUGUUUAUGUAAUGAUGAGAAAUUGAGAAUUUAAGGACAUAAUUAACAAGAUUGUUAUAGUACCAGAAAUUACCUUAUAUAAUGCAGUAUAAUUAAAAUUAUAUAAAAAAAAAGAUACAAAAACAUACACAAAUACAGUCAAAUAUUGAUUAAAAUGUACUCAUUUUUUGUAAAUAGCAUUGAACUUCAAUAAUAUAGUUAUUUAUAUAAAUUGCUCUAAAAUUAAUCUCAAUUUUAUUAAAAGAAAUUAUUAUAUUUAUUCCACGUACCAAAAAGACUCCUCAAUCUUGUAAAGCCCAAAAUAGAAGAGGAGGCCCUUUGAUCGAAAAAACUAGAGGAGGGCAAUUCAAUAAAUGAGCCCACCAGGCAUUCACACCAAGAAACAAUGGUCACUCUAUCCUCAUAGAAGUUAACGAUGAUGAAAACCUUAUAAAUACCGAAUAGUCUACUCUUUACUUAUCUCACUCCGCCGUGAUAGAUCCAAAGCCCUUAAUUUCUCAAUUCCUUCUGGGUUUUGGGUCUAUAGUUGCUUCUUUUUCCUACAAUUUCCCUUUUUGGGAAAAUCAAGGUAUGUUUUUUGUUUGAAUUUCCUUUAUUUCUGGAACAAGUUGGUGUUUUUGUUUAGUGUGUGUUUGCGAUUUUAGGAUUUUGCUGAAGAUUAAUAAAUGUUGGGUUUGUUUUUGUGGAUUUGGCGUAGGUGGGCGAGUGGUGAGUGGUGACUGUUUUGAGUGGAGGUUAUGGCCUGGAAUCGAGGAGAGCAAAGCUCAUCUGGGAUCAAGUUUGACAAGGGGAGUGGAUCUGCUAUGUUUUGGGGUUUGAAUUGAGAAAAAGGAGCUUGAUGAAGUUGACUUUAAAUCCGUUCGAUAUGGACAGUAGUAACCAAAAGAUGGGGUUUUCAGCCAUGACAAGUUUGUUAAACGAUUUUGGAUUUAUGGUAGAUGAGAAUUAAUGAGGUUGAGAAACUUGAUUCGCAAGAUGGGAAUUCAUCAGGGUGCGGGUUUCCAAUUGAUUGGUGGAAAUUGUGAGCCGCUGGGGAUGAAUUUCAGAGAGGGGUUGAACGGUGGUCAUGGUCUGAUGGAUGGUGAAUGAUCAUUGUGGUGUGGACGGAGGUAAUCCAUCGCAGGCGUUGUUAGUUGUUGUCCCUUGGUUAUUUGCCCAUUGUGGGGUGGGGGACCUAUUUGUAGUUGAAAGAUUAUGCAAGCCUUUAUGCGAUGUUAUUGUAGGAGAUCCACUUUUAUGGAAAAAAAUUAACAUAGUUCAUCCAUUUUGUACUAACAUCACAAAUGAUAUCCUUAUAAAGUUGAAGAAUAGAGCUCAAGCCCAUCUUUAUUCUCUCAGUCUAUUUCACUAAUCAAAGCUCACUGAUGUUGGUUUGAAGCUCAAAGUCAGUUGUUUCUCUUGUGUUACUUGCUUAGUUAUUAGGAAAUGUAUUACCUUAACAAUUAUAAGUAGUAAGAAAUCUAUUAAGCACACAGUUAAUUUAGAAACCCUAACUUAUAAACCACUUUUUUUCAUAAUAAACCAAUAUGCAAUUUGAAUUUCCAUGUUUAUAUCUCUUCCGCCCACCUCAGUACUUGUUUGGUUAUUCCAGGGCCUUGCCAACAUUUGACAGACAAGAGAAAUGUCCUCUAAUUAAUGCAACACUUGAAGAAAAUAAUGCUUAUAUAUAUGGUAAUAACUAGUCUAUCCAUAACUUGUGUUGGAGUCUUCCGCUGUUCACAGACGAGAAAGACAAGUGAGGGAGAAAGGGACAGUCUCCAUGGCUUCACCAAGUAAGCAUUGCAAACCCCAAAUGAUAAUUCUUUAAAAGUAUUUGUUGUAUGUGUGAUUUCAUUUUGUUAUUUGUUUUAUUUAGUAUUGGAAUGAAACAUACCAGAGAGGAUUUAGUAUUCCUAUGGUCUACCCCAUCUAUUUAGUUGUUUAUUUUACAUUAUUUCGUUAUUGUUAACUUUCCCAUAUGUGUAUCCCUUUUUCAAACUAUAUGGUGUGCUUUAAUUUAUGCAGAGUUUGUUGCAAGAUUUUAGUGGGCAUCGAUGUUGUUGUUGUUAUGGUCUACCCUUACUAUUUGGGAUUGAUGUGUAUAUAGUAGGAGUAGAACUUUUCCAAGAGUUCACAUGAUUAUUUAAAACAUUGUUUUUCCAGCUUAUAUUUUGUAUAUCUACAACCCCUCUCUUUCACACUUGCACAUCAUGGAAUAAUUUCAUUAAUGUUUGGACUAAGGUUGCGGCCAUGACCCUCUAAACGCGAUAUGGAUAGAAAUCAGCCCAAAAGUUUGAGAGAUUUUUGUGGAAUUGAAUGAACCAACCUGCCUUUUGUAGGCUAGCUCUUUUUGUGUAUUAUAGUUAAAUGAACUUGUCUCCAAAAUUUCUCCAUUAUCACAUAACUGAUUUAUCAAAAAAAUUCUUUCACUUUCAUCUUCCAUCUCGGCUAUGUUUGAUUCAAUGUUUCCUUCUUUUUUUAAGUUGGAUUGAUGUCCAUGAGCUAAAGAUCUUUCAUAAACUACCUCUUUAUCUCCACAAAGUAGUGGUAAGAUUUGCACUAUGUACAUUCUUCGUACUCUACUAAGUGCGAUUUCACUAGGUAUAUUGUUGUUGAUGAUGAUAAUAAUAUUUUUCACUAGGGAAUAUAUGGAAAAGCUCCUUCUAUUGUUGAUAGUUUUAGAUGAAUAAAUAUUAAGGUGGAAAGCUCCCAUCUUAAAAAUUGAAUUACCAUUUUGCCUAUCUACGAAAUUAAGAAUAUAAUUAAAUAAUAAUAUUUUAAUUAUCUAAAGAUUGAAUUAUAUAAAAUUAUAAAUGCAUCUUUUUCAUAUUAAAAAAUAAAAUUGAACUAGAUUUAGAAUGAAUUGUAAUACAAAAAUAGAAAGGAGAAACGCUUUCUCUCCUAAGGAAGUUCUCAAACAAACUAAAAAUUCAAAGUUCCUCUUUAUCCUAUCAAGAUGGUGAUUUUCUAAUCGAACAAGAAUGAACUGUAGUCGGUUCUAAAAGAAGUAACUAUAAAAACAAACAACUUAACACAAAGAUAAAUUGGUUGAAAAAUACAUAAUGAGUAUCAAUUAGUAAGAUUACAUAAAUCAAUAUGUUCAUAUGUGAUUUUACCAUUUCCUGUAUUGCUACCAUAGAUCUUUUCUUUUAUGAACUUCAUCGAAAUGAUAAGUAUUAGUACAACAUGAGUAAAUAUUUUGCCACACACUCACAUGCAAUUAAAUUAGUAUAAAGCACCGUUAUGUUUCUCUUAACUAAGUUGGAUUCAUAUAUGAUAUAACUUACUUAAGAGAAAAAUAAUGUAUAAUUACACUAAUUUAAUUGCAUGUCAAGUGUGUGCAAAAUAAUUCUUUAUGAUGUAUCACUACGCUAUCAUUUUGAUCAAGCUCAUGAAAAAACAUGUUAUAUGCUAACAAUACAACAACGAAAUAGUAAAAAAUCAUACAUGAAUAUGUUAAAAUAUAUAGUAUUAUUAUUUGAUGUAAUAAUUUGAUAUUCAUUAUUUAUUCGCCAACAAAUUUAUAUUUGCGUUAAGUCAAUUUUUUUGUUACUUCUUUAGACCCGACUAUGAUUCAUUCUUGUUCAAUCAUAAAAUCACUGUCUUGCUAAUAGGAAGAUCUUAUGGGAAAAUCUUAGGAACAUUAAAACAUCUUAUAAAGGUAUGUGGCUCAUCAGAGGUGAUUGUAAUGAGCUAACUUUUUUUUUUAAUAAAAAGAAAAGGAUCUCAAUGAGAAAAGUACAAUCAAGGGGGGUUAGGCUUCCUUACUAAUCUUAAUGAGGUAAAGGACUUCUACUAAUUAACAUGCAUGAACAAAUUACGAGCUAGAGAAAACUAGAUAUUGCAUUAUCAUCAUAGAGUUCAUAAUAAUUUUAUGAUGAUACUACAAAAGAGAAUGCUUAAGUAAUUCAAAAAUACAAAAUCUAAGAAUAAAGUUGAGUUAUCACAGAAAUUCUGGAAAGAAAAAACGUUGGUAACCCUUUCUGAGUAAUUACAAAAAAUUGUAUUCUAUUGGCUUAUUUGAGAUAUUGUCACAACCCAAACCGAUUGCGACUGGCACCCACACUUACCCUCCUAUGUGAGCGAACCAACCAAUCUAACCUUAACAUUUCAAUAUAAUAUCAACAGAAAGUAAUGCGGAAGACUUAAACUCAUUAAAUAAAGACCAAUUCAUUAACUUCUAAAAUUCAACAUCUAUUAUUCCCCAAAAUCUGGAAGUAAACAUCACAAGAACAUCUACGAUUAAAUGACUAAACUAAGAGUAUUCUAAAAGCUAAAAAUACAUAAGAAGCUAGUCCAUGCCGGAAGUUCAAGGCAUCAAGACUUGAAGAAGAAGAUCCAGUCCAAGCUAGAAGCAUUAGCUCACCCUGAAUUUCCGAUGUAGUAAGACUGGCUUGAAUUACUAUUGAGUUGAAGAUGAUGGCACGUUUGCUGCACUCCACAAAUAAACAAGAAGAAAACAUAAAAGUAGGGGUCAGUACAAAACAUGGGUACUGAGUAGAUAUCAUCGGCCAACUCAAAAUAGAAAUCAAUAUAUACCAAGUAAUAUCAUAAAAUCAACUAUGAUACUGAACAUGUAGCAACAACAAAUACUAUAUCAUUAACAAUUACCGUCAAGUUCACACAUGAAGACUCAAGCCUCAAUACCAUACUCAUUUGGGAAUCAUGUUCAUUAGAUUGAGUAUAUUAACAUCUUUCAAGAUUCAUUAUCUUUAUUUCUCUUGUGUCGGUACGUGACACUCUGCUCCCUCAAUAUUCAUUAAUCCUCUUGUGUCGGUACGUGACAUUCCGAUCUCCUAAAUCUACGUGUCGGUUCGUGACACCCGAUCCACUAAUACUACGUGUCGGUUCGUGACACCCGAUCCCCUAAUACUACGUGUCGGUUCGUGACACCCGAUCCCCUAAUACUACGUGUCGGUUCGUGACACCCGAUCCCCUAAUUCUACGUGUCGGUUCGUGAUACCCGAUCCCCUAAUUCUACGUGUCGGUUCGUGACACCCGAUCCCCUAAUACUACGUGUCAGUUCGUGACACCCGAUCCCCUAAUCUCCUUCCAUCAAUUCAUCAAGCCUUCUUUCUUACCAAGGCAUCAUCAAUCCCAUUAUUUUAGUUCAUCACGCCUUCUUUUAUACCAAGGCCUCAUUAUUAACAAAGAGAUUAGGAUUUUGCAAGAUUUGGGAUUCAAUAACUUCAUCAUGCUUAUAUAAUCACAAUUAUAUAAUUACAUUCAUGCAAGCAUACAAUUAAGCACAUAGCAGGGUUUACAAUAUUAUUAAUACAUAUCAUUCUCUAUUAAGAGUUUACUACGAAUAUUGUAAGAGAAACCAUAACCUACCUCCACCGAAGACUAGUGAUCAAGCAAGCAAAUUCCCAAAGCUUUGUGUUUUCCUCUUCGUUUCUCCUCUCUCGAUCAAUCCUCUCUCUCUCUCUUUGUUCUUUCUAUUUUUCUUUAUUCAAACCCUCUUUCUUUUACCCUAAUUAGUAUAUAAUUAAGAAUAAAAGAUAGCAAUAAUGACCCACUAAUUAACUUAAGGUUACCUCUUUUAACCCCCAAGUAAUUAGACUUAUUAACAUUAACCCACUAACUUUAUAAUUAAAGCAGGAAUAGUCAAAAACGUCCCUUAAAACGUAUCAAGAAAUCCGACACAGACUGGGAUUACGCAGUCUAUGACGGCCCGUCGCGCCUGCGACGGUCCGUCCUGCUGCCCCGUCACAGAGUUCAGAGACUCAAUUUCUCUGAAGAGUCUGUGACGGUCCGUCACACCUGUGACGGUCCGUCCUGCCAUUCCGUUACGAAGUUCAGAGAGUCAAUUUUCAGUACCUAAUUUCUGAUUUUCUAAGUGUUUUGAAACGAGACCCUACGAUGGUCCGUCGUGCCCAUGACGGUCCGUCGUGCCCAUGACGGUCCGUCGUGCCCAUGACGGUCCGUCGUGCCCAUGACGGUCCGUCGUGGGGUCCGUCGUUUCUGCCAGUUUUUCCAGAAUUGAAGUGUGCUGCUCAAAAUGACUAAACAGGUUGUUACAAUAGAUACCAAUUUACCCAUCGUUCAUCCCCGAACGAUCACAAGAAGGAAAACAAGGACGAAAAGGAGUACCUGAAUCUGUAAACAGGUGUGGGUAUCUUUCUCGCAUAUCAGCCUCUUUCUCCCAAUACCUUAUCUUGGAUUCUUCUUAGUUUCUCAUCAUCAAACUGUUUUCCCUUAAUCUUGUCAAGAAAGGAAGAUCUUGCCUCCACACAAGCGAACAAUCCUCCCUUCUCAUUUACUUCUAAUCUCAUCAAGUCGUUAGCUAGAGUCUGAACCUCUCUAGCUAAUGGGCGUCUAGAGGCUUGCAAGUGAGCUAGACUUCCCAUGCUUCCCGCCUUUCUACUUAAAGCAUCCGCUACAACAUUCGUCUUCCCCGGAUGAUACAAAAUGGUGAUGUCGUAGUCUUUCAGUAGUUCCAUCCAUCUUCUUUGUCUCAAGUUCAAAUCUUUCUGAGUAAAGACAUACUGUAGGCUACGAUGAUCCGUAUAGACCUCACACUUAACCCCAUAUAAAUAGUGUCUCCAUUGCUUUAAUGCAAACACUACCGCAGCCAAUUCCAAAUCAUGAGUUGGAUAGUUACGUUCAUGCACUUUUAAUUGCCUUGAAGCAUAAGCAAUCACAUUCUUCUCUUGCAUUAGCACUGCACCCAAACCAGAAUAGGAUGCAUCACAAUAAAUAAUGAAAUUCUUACCCUCCACUGGCAAGGUGAUAAUUGGUGCGGUAGUCAACAAAGUCUUGAGCUUCAGAAAGCUUUCCUCACACUCAUCCGACCAUACAAAUGGAACAUUUUGCUUAGUCAAGUUCGUCAGUUGGGAAGCAAUAGAAGAGAAUCCCUUGAUAAAUCGGCGGUAGUAGCUAGCUAACCCAUAAAAGCUCCUUAUUUCUGACACAUUAGUAGGUCUUACCCAAUUCUUCACUGUCUCAAUCUUAGAAGGAUCCACCAUCACUCCAUCCUUGGAAACCACGUGCCCCAAGAAGGACACUGCAUCUAGCCAGAACUCACACUUAGACAACUUGGCAUAAAGAUUUUUCUCCCUCAACAUUUCCAAUACCAUUCUCAAAUGCUCCUCAUGUUCUUUCUUGCUCUUUGAGUAUAUCAGUAUAUCAUCAAUAAAUACGAUAACGAAGAGGUCCAAAUAUGGCUUAAAAAUCCCGUUCAUCAAGCUCAUAAACGCAGCAGGGGCAUUCGUAAGACCAAAAGACAUCACUACAAAUUCGUAAUGCCCAUACCUCAUUCGAAAAGCAGUCUUUGGCACAUCCGUUGCCCGCAUUUUCAAUUGAUGAUAACCAGAUCUCAAGUCAAUCUUAGAGAAGACACAAGCACCUUGUAACUGAUCGAACAAGUCAUCAAUGCGAGGAAGAGGAUACUUGUUCUUUAUGCUUACCUUGUUUAGUUGUCUGUAGUCUAUACACAUUCGAAAACUCCCAUCCUUCUUCUUCACAAACAAAACCGGAGCACCCCAAGGAGAUGCACUUGGUCUAAUAAAGCCUUUGUUUAACAACUCUUGAAGUUGGGCUUUUAACUCUCUUAACUCCGCGGGAGCCAUUCUAUAAGGGGGUAUAGAAAUGGGGCGAGUACCCGGUUCAAGGUCAAUACAGAAAUCAAUAUCCCUAUCUGGUGGCAUACCAGGAAGAUCUGCAGGGAACACAUCCAGAAACUCACGGACCACCGAAACUGACUCAAUCGAAGGUACUUGGGUAGUGUCAUCCUUGAUAUGUGCCAAGAAAGCUAAACACCCUUUACUAACCAUUUUCUUAGCACGAAGAAAGGAGAUGAUACGCACCGGAUUGGAAGUGUAGUCACCCUACCAAACUAACGGAUCUGUCCCAGGCUUGGCUUACAGUCACCGUUUUAGCAUUACAAUCCAAGAUCGCAAAUUGCGAAGAAAGCCAAGUCAUACCCAGAAUUACAUCAAAAUCAUCCAUUUCUAAGAUAACCAAAUCUACAUAAGUGUUGCUCCCCACAAAGUUCACCAAACAAGACCUAUAUACCUUUUCAACUACCACAGACUCACCCACCGGAGUAGAAACACGAAUAGGCAUAUCAAGUAAUUCACAAUGUAAAUUUAGACCAUUAGCAAAUGAGGAAGAUGCAUAAGAAAAUGUGGAUCCAGGAUCAAACAAUACAGAAGCCAUGCAAUCACAAACCAGAAGAUUACCUGUGAUGACAGCAUCAGUUUGAUAUGUCUGAUCUUGGCUUGAUGCAUUACCUUUUGUAGUUGAAAGAAUAUGCAGCCUUUAUGGGAUGUUGUUGUUGGAGAUCCACUUUUAUGGAGAAAAAUUAUCAUAGUUCAUCCAUUUUGUACUAACAUCACAAAUGAUAUCCUUAUAAACUUGACGAAUACAGCUCAAGUCCAUCUUUAUUCUUUCAAUCUAUUUCACUGCUCAAAGCUCACUGAUGUUGGUUUGAAGCUCAAAGGUCAGUUGUUUCUCUUGUGUUUUUUGCUUAGUUAUUAGGAACUGUAUUACCUCAACAAUUAUAAAUAGUAAGAAAUCUAUUAAGCACACAGUUAAUUUAGAAACCCUAACUUGUAAACCACACUUUUUCAUACUAAACCUAUAUGCAAUUUGAACUUCCAUGUUGAGGUCUCUUCAGCCCACCUCAGUACUUGUUAGGUUAUUCCAGGGCCUUGUCAAAAUUUGACAGACAAGAGAAAUGUCCUCUAAUUAAUGCAACACUUGAAGAAAAUAAUGCUUAUAUAUAGUAAUAACUAAGCUCUCUAUAACUUGUGUAGGAGUCUUUCAUUGUUCACAGACGAGAAAGACAAGUGAGGGAGAAAUGGACAGUCUCCAUGGCUUCACCAAGUAAGCAUCGCAAACCCCAAAUGAUAAUUCUUGAAAAAUAUCUAUUGUGUGUGUGAUUUCAUUUUGUUAUUUGUUGUAUUUAGUAUUGGAAUGAAACAUAUCAGAGAGGAUUUAGUAUUCCUAUGGUCUACCCCAUCUAUUUAGUUGUUUAUUUCACAUUAUUUCGUUGUUGUUUAUUUUCCCAUAUGUGUAUCCCUUUUUCAAACUAUUUGGCGUGCUUUAAUUUAUGCGGAGUUUUUUUAUCCACAAGUUAAGGGUAAGAUAUGUUUAUACUCUAUCCUCUAUAAAUCCAACUUGGCGAGAAUUUACUGGGUAUCAUUGUUGUUGUUGUUGUUAUGGUCUACCCAAACUAUUUGGGAUUAAUGUGUAUAUAGUACGAGUAGAACUUUUCCAAGAGUUCCACUUGAUUAUUAAAAACUUUGUUUUUCCAGCUUAUAUUUUGUAUAUCUACAACCCCUCUCUUUCGCACUUCCACAUCAUGGAACAAUUUCAUGAAUGUUUGGACUAAGGUUGCAGCCAUGGCCCUCUAAACGCAAAAUGGAUAGAAAUCAACCCAAAAGUUGAAGAGAUUUUUGUGGGAUUGAAUUAACCAACCUGCCUUUUGUAGGCUAGCUCUUUUUGUGUCUCCAAAAUUUCUCCGUUAUGACAUAACUGAUUUAUCUAAAUUUUUCUUUCACUUUCAUCUUCCAUAUCUUCCAUCUCGGCUAUGUUUGAUUUUGUGUUUCCUUAUUUUUGUAAGUUGGAUUUCACUAGGCAUAUUGUUAUUGAUGAUGAUAAUAUUUUUCACUAAGGAAAAUAUGGAAGAGCUCCUUCUAGUGUUGAUAGUUUUAGAUGAAUAAAUAUCAAGGUGGAAAGCUCCCAUCUUAAAAAUUGAAUUACGAUUUUGCCUCUCUACUAAAUUAAGAAUUUAAUUAAAUAAUAAUAUUUUAAUUAUCUAAGAUUGAAUUAUAAAAAAUUAUAAAUGCCUCUUUCUCAUAUUAAAAAAUGAAAUUGACCUAGAUUUAGAUUGAAUUGUAAUCCAAAAAUAAUAGCAGAAAUACCCUAGAUUAGGAACGCUUUCUCUCCUAAGGAAGUUUUCAAACAAACUAAAAAUUCAAAGUUUCUCUUUCUCAUAUCAAGAUGGUGAUUUUCUAAUCGAACAAAAAUAAACCGUAGUCGGUUCUAAAAGAAGUAACUAUAUAAAAACCAACUUAACACAAAUAUAAAUUGGUUGAAAAAUAAAUAAUGAUUAUCAAAUAGUAGGAAGAUAUAAACAAUAUGUUCAUAUGUGAUUUACCAUUUCCUUGUAUUGCUAGCAUAGACCUUUUCUUUUAUGAACUUCAUCGAAGUGAUAGAGUAUUGACACAACAUGAGGAAAUAUUUUUCCAUACACUCGACAUGCAAUUAAAUUAGUACAAAUCACCGUUAUGUUUCUCUUAAAUAAGUUGAAUUAAUAUAUGAUUUUAACUUAUUUAAGUUAAAAAUAACAUAUACUUAUACUAAUUUAGUUGCAUGUCAAGUGAGUGAUAAAAAUAUUUCUUUAUGAUUUACCCUAGUCCACUACUCUAUCAUUUUGAUCAAGUUCAUGGAAGAAAAUGUUAUAUGAUAACAAUACUACGAAAUGCUAAAAAAUAAUGCAUGAAUAUGUUAGCUUAUAUAGUAUUAUUAUUUGAUAUUCGUUAUUUAUUCGUCGAUAAAUUUAUAUUCGCGUUAAGUCAAGUUUUUUGUUAACUCUUUAUGAUCGACUAUGUUCGAUCAGAAAAUCACAAUCUUAAUAAGAAUUUUGAAUUUUUAGUUUGUUCAAAACUUACGAUGGGAAAACAUUUCAAUCUAGGGUGUUUCUCCCUUCUAUUUUUAGAUGGUGACUCAUUCUAGAUCCACGCAAAUCAACAUUUUUAAUAUGUGGAAGAUGGACGUUGAAUUAUUAGUUUAAGUAAAACUUCCUUACAGAGCAGCGAUCUAUUUAGACUGAAGUCAAAAGUUAUAUGUAGGAGUUGUUCACCGUAUUAUAGUUAUGACACCAAUACUACCAAAUUUAGCAACUAGAUAGGAGCAAUGAACUCUCUUUGCUUAUAAUACAUGCCAAUAACCAUCAAAAAAUAGAAGAGAGAAACAACCUAGAUAGGAGCAAUGAACUCUUUGCUUAUAAGACUUGCCAAUCACCAUCCAAAAAUAUAAGAGAGAAACAACCUAGAUAGGAGCGUUAUUCCUUGUAAGAAUGUUUUUAAACAAAUUAAAAUUUCAAAGUUCUUCUUAUCAGUUGGUGAUUUAUGAUCUAACAAGAAUGAAUCAUAGUCUGUCCUAAAAGAUUUAACAAAAAAAAACCCGACUUAACACAUAUAAAGUGAUUGGAAAAUAAAUAUAAUAAUGAAUAUCAAACUAUUAUAUAAAAUAGUAAUAAUAUAUAAAUUAAUAUGUUCAUGUGUGAUUUUACCAUUUUCUUGUAUUGCUAGCAUAUAAGCUUUUCUUUUAUGAACUUGAUUCAAAAUGAUAGAGUAGUUACACACAUGAAGAAAUAUUUCGCAACACACAUGCAAUUAAAUUAGUAUAAAUUAUCAUUAUGUUUCUCUUAACUAAGGUGAAUUAAUGUAUGAUUCAGCUUGAUUAAGAAAAAUAUAAUGGUAGUGUAUACUAAUUUAAUUGCAUAUUUAGUGCGUGAUUAACAUUCAUUUUAUUAAGUCCAUUUGUUUCUUUUUUUAAAAAAAAAAAACUCUUACUGAUCUUAAUGAGUCUGAAUGAUCGACUCUAUUCAAAUAUUAAGUGUUUCUUUUCUUAAACAAAUUCUCUUCUUCGUUGCUUCUCUUCUGGACAAGUUUCAAGUUUCUUCCUCUUCUUUUAAAACCAAGUAUCAUUUUUUUUUCUUUGAAUAAGUUUUCAUAAUCUUUUACAAGUAUUUAUUUAAUAUUUCUAAUAUAUAAAAUAUCCUUGGGUGAAUUGAUAUUUAUGAAGAAACUGUUCUUGUCACAAUUUGUUUGUUGUCAAAACUUCUUCAGAAGAAGUUAUCAUUGUUUCUUGAGAAAACAUUAUUUGAAAAAACAAAUAACUCAUCUUUUUUCUGGGUUGAGUGAUAAUCUUAUUCUUGAAACAAUUGUUUGGAAAAAGUAUUUUUUGUUUGGAUCAUAACUAUUAUUGACAUAGUGUUUAAUUUCAAAUUUAAAAAAAUAUUAAAAACAAACAAUCUUAAUGAUUUAGUGUUCAGACCUAAAAACUACAUUUCAAUAUCCAGACAAAUAUUCGACAUUUUAAUCUUAAUACUAAUCUUAAUAUUCAGAUGCCGCAUUUAGAUUCAGGCCUCUUAAUUUUAACGAAAACAAAUAAGGCCUAAAUCUGCUUAAGAACCGGACCAUAUUAGGUGUAUAGUACGCAAUCUUACCUAAUAUUUCUGUCAUCCAAAAAUAUUCAUUUGUUCAGGUAAUACUCCGCAGCAUUAGGAAUUAUGUUAUGCUAAUAAUAUUGAAGCAGGACAAACAUUUUCUGUCACUAAACAGUAAAAUCCAUUCUUAUAUAUACAAAUUGUGAGGAUUGGAAGCAAAACAUUAGGUUGAAAGUGAAAAAUAAAUUGUUAAUACACAAGUUGUACUACUUAUAUACAUUUUAAUUAAUAAAGAAAAAAAAAAGCAAGCCAAUACCCCUCAUUUUUUUGUGAAAUUAUACUAGCUAUUAGAAUAACGACAACUAUCAUGAGUUUGAAUAGAACAGAACGGAUACAUAAUAUUCGAGUAACAAUAUCUAAUUAGCUUAAAGUUGAAGCAUAUAUAUAAUCGAGUUGA
Molecule: long non-coding RNA, 62114 nt
Filed under: Solanum lycopersicum (tomato)
Lineage: Eukaryota; Viridiplantae; Streptophyta; Magnoliopsida; Solanales; Solanaceae
Description: long non-coding RNA (SLYC_LNC001069)
Source: RNAcentral